UAAAUUCAGUACUGAAUUUGUAAGCAAUGUGGCGAUGCCUAUCUUGUAAACAAGGCAAGACCACGGUUAGACAUUAACAUCAUGCUCUUGUCAAGUUUGAACUCUUUUACGAUCAAAAAGCAGAGUAAUUCAUCAAGCUAUGGAAGAAUUAGUACAUCCUUCCUAUAGUUAGAGUUCUUGCGAUCUCCUUUAUUGAAAAUUAAGUUGCAGGAAAAAAAAUCUGCUACCUUGACCGCUAACCCGCUUGGGAUGGCUAAGGUACAAGGGUUGGAUAAGAAUCUACCAACUUCUACACCUAAGAAACAAUUCCCUUCUCCCCUGUUUAUGGGUCACCAUCGGAGCUCUCGAGUUCACAACUGCACCAAGCUGGUUAUACUCCCAAUUGGGGUAUAUCUGAUUUUCAUCUAAUAAUUGUACGCCCGAGUUCCUUGUCUUAAAAAAAAUGCCAAAAUACCUGUAUUCAUAUCUAAACCUUCACAAAUACCACCUCGAUGUCUUAGUUUUGGAUCUGUAAGGAAUUAGAUGACUGUUGAGCAUGCUUACUAACCAUUUGCGGAUUUAGGGAAGAGUGGAAUUCGAAACAGGAGCUUUCCUGUCAAAGCAAAGAAAAAAAAUAGUUUUUAAAAACUUCUCAAUUUCAACUCGCUAGGAUGAUAUUGGUGGCCAUUUUGCACGGUGAGACCUUUUAUAUAUGGAAAUUAGAUUGCAUUGGCAUCGUUCAGUUGAAAUUACAAGGGUAAGAAGGCUGGCGAAACAAGUACUACUUUCUAGAUCAGCCUAUUCUCAGGUUAUAUACUAAGCUAACAUGAAUGGCUUCGGUCUAACUUAAUCUCUUAAAAUACACGAAAAUCUGGAAUACUUCAAGAACUGUAGCUAGAAAUAACAACGAGCUUUACUUACAGUGGUUACCUCAUUCUUCAUUAGUUGAAGGUCUUGCACAGCCACAAAAGCAACCCUUCUUCUGCCUUCUGCUGCUUUUCCUGCCACCGCUGUAUAUGAAGUCUCUCAAGAGGAUGCCUGUUUUACUUCCAGAAAAUUUAUGCUUUCUUUUGCUUUUCUUUUCAUCCUCCAGUUUUAGCAGAAUGUAAUGGAUACUCUGCACCUCAAACUGUAACCUUCCUAUCUUUUCAGACCUUUCAUAAAUCAAUCUAUGGCUCCUAUGAUGAGGACCACAGUCAAACAACAAUAUUAUUUGGACUUAAAGCUCUCUUGGUUCGAAAUUAUAAUUGACUGCUCUCUUGAUUUAAGCUCUCGUGUCUGUUGGAAUGUUGCAUUUGUUUUUGCUGCUAGCCCUCAUGAUUGAUGGGCCUCGGACAUUGAUUAGCGACAAAUUCUAUACUAAAUUUCCGAGGAUUAUAUUUAUUGGUUGACGGCGGAUCGUUUGUAGUUGCCGGUUGGGGUAGCGGAUAAACUAGUUCGUCCACAUUCCAAAUGGAAAUGUCUUAUGAUCACCAUCAUCACUCGCCGAGUAGAGCUUUGAUGGUAUUAUUGCCAAUUGGUCCCAACUAGAGAUGAUUAGGGCUUGUUUAAAGGUGUCCUUGUUGUCCCACAUGACUUGGUGUCUGAUUUUACUCUCUUUUCCCUCGAACAUUUCCAGGUGAGCAACGAAUAUACAGCUUGUGUUAGCAUUUGUGCACUUGCAUCUUCAUAAAUCGUGAAUUCUUAAGAUCUUCUGCACAAAAAUUUGGUCUGAAUUAACCCACAAACUGAUUCAAGAAUACUCUUCACCAUCAAGUAAUAAAUCAAUCAAUCAAAAGUUUAAAUUUAGCAAUUCACGCUAGAUUAGUGUAAUGCUUUAAUUAUGAAACAUAUCUUAACGUUAUACCUUUUCAAAUUUUAGUUAUGAUGAAUGGAUUUAAAUUUGUUUCGCUUACGAUCAUUUAAUACUCGAUUUAAAAAAAAAAAUUGAAAUACCUUUUCAUAAAUGUAUGAAUCCUAACAUGAAUUUGAAUAAUGUGUGUAGAACUUCAUUAGAAAAAGGUUUAGUCUUAAUCACAAAAGUAAGCUCAAGUGUAUCUUGAUUGUUAAAAAAAAAACAGAGUAGUUCUCUUUUUUUUAAGACCAAGUGGUAUCGUUGGGUCAAUCUUGACAUGCAAACAUUGAAUCUAGCUCUACGAUCCAAAUAAUGACAGGAUAUCCAUGAAAAGAUUAGAAGAAAUGAUAAGAUCCUUGUUAAAAAUCCCCUUGCAUAUUUUAUAGGUUUAAACUCAAACAACUUCUAUGGUGCUUUUAGAUGAUAAUCAAAUCUGUGGCAAACUUAGGCCCGGUUCCGAUAUGACACAGCAGCCGAUCAGGGGAGAGGGAGUUCUGUAGUGCCGGGGGUGAAAGCUGAACCUUGAAUGGCGAGAGAGCCAGGAGGUGUAUCUUAACUAAACGUGUAUAACGAGUGGACUCCAUUGUAUCCAAAUCAAGGUUAUCUAAUCAGGAUCAAAAUCGAUUGCCGUCGUGAAAAUGGUAGAUGACGUGCCCUAACUCUUGCACGAGCAAUGAUGUUUUUAAAAAUAUUUUUUAUUUAAUAAUAUAUUAAAAUAAUAUUUUUUAAAAAUUUUAAAAAUUAUUUUUUUAUAUUUAUGUAUCAGAAUAAUCUAAAAUUAUUAAAAAUUUAUUAAUUUUAUGUAAAAAUAAUUAAUUUUUUUAAAAAAGUGGAAAAACAAAAAAAGGCUUUAGAAAAAUUACAAUAUUUGUUUUUGCGUCUUUGAAGUGGGUCUCCGGGAAUCAUUUCAAGCAAUGAGGUGGAAAGGUGAAUGUUGAAUAAUAAAAAGAAAUUUGAAAAGUGGAGAAUUGUACCGAAGACUAAAGGAGACAUGGGCCAUGCUUGGUAAUUGGAUAUCUAAAGAGCCGGAAGAAAUGGCCCUACGAUGUGUUCUUCUCCUUUAUUUAUUUAUUUAUUUAUUAUUUUUUUGACAAGCACAUUGAUGCAGCUUAACCAGUAUCUCAGGGAUACCACGGUUUUUGGAUUCGUCGAGGACAUGAUGAAAAGUGCUGUUUGGAUGCUUAUUUUCUUCAUGACCUGUUGUCCGAUGGAAAAGAAAUUAAGCGUAUAUUUGUAUAAAGUCCAUGAAAUUAACUGUUUUCUUUCUUCUAUAUAAUUUUUUUAUUGGUGCAUGGUAUCAGAAAAAAGCUCACGUAUCCAUUUCGUAUAAAAACUAAACAAACAAGAGAAUGGUCACUUAAAAUGUUUUAAGAACACAAUUAACAAGGAGCAUAAAAAACUAUAAUAAUAAUAAAAAAAAGGGAUGUAGUAAAAAUAUACGAGAGACGAGCUCUUAACAUCAUUUAACACGUCUUAUCUCAACAAGAGCAAGGAACGUCUGUGGGGAAAGAAAUGAAAACCACUAAGCACAUAUUUUUGAGAAAUAAUUCUAAUCCCUUCCUCGUCUAUUAGAAUGUGACAAAAUAUAGUUUUAUAAUGACGAAAAAUAAAAAUAAAGAGUUGCAAAUGAGACUCUCGUGGAUGCAAAUACAAAUUAAUAGUGGUGGCAUGUACUCUUGUAGAAGAUGAAUGACAGAGAAUUAAAGCUUAAUUAGCAAAUAAAUAUAAAGGGCCCGCCCGCCCUUGGCCUGCCGCCCACCCACUCAUCGCCUUCUAAUCAAGAUUCUCCAUCAAAACUUGGCAGUCAAAUAUCCUUCCAUUUCCGAGGGAACUCUAAGGGCAACAAUCUGAUCCAGUGGUAUCUAACGAAACAUCAAGUUCAGAGAUUCAACGAGGGAAUAAUGAUCUUGCGAUUCUACGUAUCUCUCGCAUGGAAAAAACAGUUUGAUAUAUACAAGCUAGGCACCAUCUUUGUCAUGUCACAUGGACCAAGCAAGAUAUCGUUUCAAGGAUUUUGAACUUAAAAAAAAAAAGUAACCUCUCCCGUUACAUAAUUAUAUCUUUACCGAGGGAAUUGAAGUCAUAGAAAGUCGAAUUCCUAUCUCAUUUGUUAGCCAUCAAAUAUAACAUCACUGGAUCAAGUCUUCAUGUGUUCCGAGCAACAUAAAUUAAAAUAUAUAUUCCUUCGACGAGCCACAUAAGUUGUCCCUCCCCCAGUGACAAAGCAAGGUUUUUUUUUCCCCCUUAGUGUCUAGAAACUAGAAUAGAAAAUGUGCUCUUAGUGCAGUAGUAUUUCUCAUAAUAGGCUAGAGUGGAGAUAGAUUCAAGCUCAAAGUUAAUUUAGACGAUUAUAUAUAUAUAUAUAUAUAUAUAUAUAUAUAUAAUAUAUAUUAAAAAAUUGUCCUUUAUCGUGUUUUUUGAUGUCUAAUAUCAUUAAGAAUAUUUGGAAAAAAGGAUAAACAGAAUCAUAAAGAUGGCCAAGAACCAUCACGACCCAGUUGCUGGAUACUGCGUGUUGUCUAAUGAUAAUAGCUGCUAAUAAGCAAGCCAUCAUGGAGGAUAUGAUAAUUAGCUAAUUAGAGGCAGCUCAAAAGCAACCACGUUCACAAUUAGACGAGGAAGAUUUCGUUAUCAAGCAUCGCCAUCUUUGGACUCAACGAGUCUGCAAUGAUAUCAAAAUAGGUCAAAACAACAAGAAGGAAUUCCAAGAAGAUCUCUGCUUUUGUCUUUUUCUUUUUUGUUCUCUUCCGACUCUACCCUUCCCUCGGUGAAUCUAAUGCCACCGUCAAGAUUUACGAGGCAGUCAAAGGAGGCAGCAGCAGCAUGUUUGAUUUCCUUCUUUCUUUAACACUCCCUUUCUUUUUUUAUGGGUGCUUUUUCUGCUUAAUGAGAGAGGCCCCACUCCUCUCUUUCUCUUUGCCAACGUUUUUAUGGGUUUGAAGACAAAUUGGGUUUUUAUCUUUUGAUUUUCCUUUUCUAAAUGCACGGACCCAGUCUUUCUUUACAUACAUGUCAUUAGAAAUAGAAUCCACUGCAGGUUCAAGUGUCACCAAAGACCAGCGUAUAUUAUUUUUUACCAUACUCUAUAUCAAAGUUAUAAAAAUCAGCUGAGUUGCGAGUCGGAAGAGUGAACAUAAAUUAUCUAAUUUUAAAAAAUAAAUAGAUAAAAUGUUUUUUUAAAAAAACCUUUUUUAGAAUAAGUCAACAAAUAGAUUGAUUAAGUUUUAUUGAGCAAACAUCAAAAAAAAAUUAUUUUUUUAAUCUGAACCGGUUUAAUUUUCGGGAUAAUUUGAUAGGUUAGUCUUGGUACAAAGACAGUGUUCUAUCUGCAUGUGUUGUUCUGAUGUGGACAUGUCUAUACGCGCAGACAUGACUUGUGUUUUGUGCGUACGUGUACUGGAUGUCGACGUGUCUUCUAUCUAAGUGGCGUGUUUUCAUUUUAUUCAUUUCUCUUCGUUAUCUCGGGGAGUCGAUGUCCUUUGUACAGAUUAAUGUAAAUUAAUCCAAUAUAAUCAAUUCUCUUGAUGUUCUCCCAGAUAUGAUUAAUUUUUUACUGUUAACUAUAAACUAAAAGAUGAGGAGUUUUACUGUAUUUUUUUAAUAAAUUAUUAUUUAUUAAAAUAUUGAUUUUUUAAUUAAUUUAUUUUUUAAAAAAAAAUAUGAUUUAUUUUUUUAAUUAUUACACUCUCGUAACCGAGUUUAACAGAUUAAGCUGAUUUUGGGGGUUAAUCUGGUUGACUCGUUUUUUUUUAUCAUUUAAUAUUGGGUUGAUUGAGAAUUAGAUUUUAUGAUUUAUUUUAUUUACUUUCUUUUAUGUUAUUUUUAGUCUAAUAACUCAAGAAUGGUGCUUAAAAGAUUAACUCGAGUAGACUCGGAUUACUUUUUAUCUUUUUUAUUUUAUUUUAUUAUUCAAUACCAGGUCGAUUAAGUUUUAAGUUUUAUAAUUUUUUUGAUUUGCUUUGUAAGGGGAUAUCUUAGUCUCAUGAUUAAGAUAAUUGAUUUUAGCAUUUUAACUAUGAUUAAAUCAUGUCAUUUAUUUUAUUUUAUUUUCAAAACAUUAUCAUAGUAUCACAACCUGAGUCAUGGGUCCUUCAACAUUGAAUUUUCUUUUGAUUUAGUUGUCUCAGCCUCAUGACCUAGGUGGUGAGUUAGCUUAAUUGACUCAACUUUUUUUUAAUUGACUAUUUUUUUUCAUCGUUUAAUAUCGUGUUUAAUUAAAAAUUAAGCUUCAUGAUUUAUUUUGCUUUAUUUUUUAUUAGGUUUUCUUGACAUCAUAACCCGGUAGUUGUUAACUUUAGUUUACUUUGCUUAUUUUUUGUGUCAAUUUUUAAAUUAUAAUUUUUUUAAAUUUCAUCAUUUAACAUUGAAUUUAACAGUGACAUUUAAGAAUUGAGUUGUAAAAUUUAUUUUGAUAUGUUUUCUAGUAGGUUAUCUUGAUGACAUGACCAAAGCCAUGGAUUUGAUAGAUUAAUCCGUGUUAAAUUAAGUUUUUUUUUUAUGAAGUUAUCUCGAUCUGAUGACCCCGGAUAUAGGUUUGACAGAUUAACUUGAGUUAUUUUUUAUUACAUGACCAAAGUUGUAUGAAUUGUUUUUGAACCUGUAUAUUUAACCGGGUUAUAUCAAAUCAGCUCCCACAUCAUUUAUUUAUUUAUUUCACUAAAAAAAACAUAUUAAUAAGAUCUAACAUUUAUCUUAUAUUAAAAAAAGAAGUAACCUGAUUCACAAUAUAGCAUAUAUGAAUUAUCUAGUAAUUCCAGAACUGGGUCAGUGACGUGGUGGUUUGCGUGAUCAUAGAAAAAAGUUAAUUACAAUGUACUGAUAAAUAUAUAUAUAAAAAAAGAAUAACUAAUUAGCUAUUUGAUGGCAAUGGAAUAAAUUAUCACCGAGAUUCAAUGAGUUUUUUUUUAGUUUAUGUUUCAGGAUAGAGUAAAAAACAUGGGUAGAGUUAUAUUUGACGAUGGUAUAUAUACAAAAACAUUUAUCAUGACAAUGAUAUACAACGCUAUAAAAUAUAUAUAAAAAAUAUUUCAUCUUUGUGUUAUCUAUUUUUAUAUUAAAUUUGAAAAAAAAAGAAAAUAUUUUUUAUUUCAUUUCAUUUUCAUGGAUGCUCUACUUAUUCAGUGAUUUCUAAAUACUAUUAUUUUUUUUUAUUUUACGUUGCGUUAAGGAUAAUUAUUAACUUAGUAUGUAUUUUAAUUUUAAAAUAUUAUUAAUUUCAUCCAUGAAAUAUUAACUCAUUAAUAUAAUUAUUUUAACGUAACCUUUGAAAAGAAUAUUAUACAUCCAGCAAAAAUACAAUAACCUGUAAUUUAUUUUUGUUAAUUCAUAUUUCUACAGAUACAAAUCAGGAGAAAUUUAUAAUAUGGUUUAGUCGGUUAGUUUUCUUAGAUUUUAUACAGAAAUACAAAUAUACAAGAAAAGAAGAUAAUAAUAAUAAUAAUAAUAAAAAGACUAUGUAAAAUUUGGAAUGGGUGGGAAAAGUAAAGGAAAAUGAUUAAACCUACUAGUCUACUACCUAGAACCAGGUCUAGGCUCAUCUAGGCUGAGACACAACUAGAGUGACAAGCUGUCUGUUAUAAUCCCAUGCGGCGAGUCUUGUUUAUUUUUUGAAGAAACUCACUUGAAUCUAUUGCGAGCACCGACCACCAUAAAAAAAUCUUCGUUUUAUUUCAAAUAUUUAUAUCUCUCAGAUCUAGUGAUAAAAUUGUAUAAUUUUUAUGCAAGUGAAUUUUUUAUUUUAUGAUAGUAUUGGCCAAUUUUGUGACCGAAUUCUGUACAACCAGAAAUAUCUCUCUCCGCUAGUUUUUUCCCUCUCUUCUUGAUAAAUGUUUUAUUAUUAUGUUUUAUAUAUAUAUAUUUGAGUUUUUCAAAUUCAACCGUGGAAGUUGAAUGUUGUAAAAUCAAUGGUUUAGAUAUUAAGUUGGGGAUAGAGAUGGAAGAUUUGAAAUGUUUUUAGGGGCAUUUUUUAAGAUAAAAAAAUUAUUGUUUGUCUUAUCAGACACAUUUUUUAUUUUUUUGACCUUUUGAGGUACAUAAAUAGCAAAAUUUUGGUUACAAUAAGAAGUUGUUUUUAAAAUAAUUUUUGUGAUUAUAAUUUUAAAAAAUUAAGUUUAAAAAAAGUAUGAUUAGUUAGAUUUAUGAUUGAGGUUUAUGUGUAGCAAAAGAAAUAUAUAAAAUAUUUGGUUGUAGUUGCUUUUCAAAAAUAUUUUUUUACUUAGAAAUGCAUCAAAUUUUUUAUUAUUAUUAUUUAAAAAUUAUUUUUAAUCCUAGCGCAUUAAUUUUUUUUUGAAAAUAUAUAUAUAAAAAAUUAUUUUGAAGUAAAUUUUUUUUUUUUUUAAAAAGUAUUUUUAAAACACAAAAACAAAUAGAAUUUUACGAACCUCAGUUAAAAAAAUAUAUAAAAAUUGUUUUAUAAAAUUAUAUUUGAAACUUAAUUUUUUAUGGGCUUCAUAAUAUAAAAUAUAAUUUGAUGUAUUACCUGACUAUGUUUUUUACACCACAUAUACAACAGCCACAACUAAAUAAACUUACCUUCAAUAAUUAUAAUGUUCAUGAGUAGAAUUAGAGGGGAAGCCUAGAUAACAACCCCGAGCCCUAAAGUUAAAAUAAUACAUAAUUCGUACAAGUUUUAUAUCUUAUAAUAUAACUAACUAUUCUAAAUAAGAAAUUGUAUUUUAACCCACAAUCUAUCAUUUUUGUCGACGUAUAUUGUCUUUGCACCUCAUCAUGUUCUUCGGUUUUUCUAAUUUAAUAUUCACAAUUCCGUCCUCGUGGCCAUGACCCCUGGCCGCACCACACGCCACGCAUGGAUUGCAACCUCCACAAAACUUAAAUAUAUUUAAAUUCAUAACCUGGUUUCAAAUUAUUCACGAAGAAAAGAUAUUCGGUGGUGAAACUAGUGAUUAAUUUUUAAAAUAAAUUAAAAUAAUAUAUUUUUUAUUUUUUAAAAAAUAUUUUCGACAUAAUACAUUAAAAUGAUAUAAAAAUAUUAAAAUAAUAUUAUUUUUAAGUUAAUAUUUUUUUGAUAUUUUCAGAUAUUUUAAUUUAUUGAUGUUAAAAAUAUAUUUUUUUAAAAAUUAAUAUUAUUUUAAUAUUUUUAAAAAAAUAUUUUUGACAUCAGUAUAUAAAAAUGAUAUAAAAAUAUUAAAAAAUAAUAUUAACUUAAAACAAUUUUUUUUUUUUUAAAAUGUUUCACGCGAAACGCUAGAAUCACAGAAAGAGUUCUCAUGAUCCGAGUUGCCCAAACAAUACGAACAAGUGUCCAGUGGUUCUUAGCUAGUUCUCACAUUUGACGAGCCUUCUUCCAUUAAGUAGAUCUGAAUGGUGAAAAGUUGUAAUAACGUGUAAAACAUGCUCGACCACUCGGUAUUAUUACCGUUUUGUAUCUUAAACAUGAGGGCGGCUAUAUGUCUCUCUCCUUUUCAAGUCUGACCUCGAGUUUCAACGAAGAUUUCCUUUCGCUCCUUCACUAUGAUGAAUCAAUUGUUAAUUAUUAUCCAAAAUGUAAUUAAAUAUUGAAUUUUUUAUAUUAUAAAAUUACAUAAUUUAAAAAGGUUUCAAUUAAAAUAUGCAGCUUAAUGCAGCAUGUGAUUGUCAUAUUUAAAAAACCUAAUAUUUAAUGAUAUUUAUAUUUUAACUAUUACAUCAAAUCGGAUAAAUAUUUUAUGUUUUAAUAUUAAAUAUUUUAUGUUUUAAUAUUAAAUAUUUUUAUCAACAUCUAUCUUUUAAUUUUUUAAAUUUUAUUUUUAAGUAUUAUUAAUAAAUUUUUAUUUAUUUAUUCACAUGUAUAGUUUUUAAUUUAUACAUAAAGUUUUUUGUUCCAACAUAAAAUUUUAAUUCAAAGGUUUUUUUAUCUUCUUUUAAAAAGAUAAAAAUAUCAAACCAGAGGAAACACGGAUCACAUAUCCAUGAUAUAUCAUAAAUAUCGUUAAUAAAUGUAGAUAGAUCAUAAAUAUCGCGAAUAAAUAUAGAUGUAGAUGCUGUUAGAUGAUUAGAGGUUUAAAGAGCAAGAGGGAAUAAAAUGGGGUCACAAGAGCCCAGAACCACUCAUCUGCUUUGACAUUUUGAUAUAUUUGGUGGUCACAAUUUUUUCCCUCGUCUUCCAAGGCACUGUAUACCACCUUCCAUGUUGCCCUAUCAAAUCAGAAGGCUUCUGUCAUUUUCAGACAUUGCCCCCGCCUCUCCCGAAUUUAUUGACUGAUUGAGACCGAGUUCGAGCCGGCGACUCGUGUCAUCCUAUAGCUUAAAUUUUCUUUUCAAGGUGCUAUGUACCCAUGCCUAGAAGUCCUUAUUCAGCUUCCUGGUGAUUUUCUUUGAAGCUUCUGUCAUGGCGAAAUUAUCAUGCAGGCGACCAGCUCCGUAUUGGACUGUUUUACGCAGUUAUCAUCACAGUCUCUCACACUAAUCAAAUCUCAAUGGAUUUCACGUUAUGAAAUGUAAUGAGUGCAUGAACGCAGAGUGGAAUUAAGCCACAGAAUAUAGCAUAAUAUAUUUACGGGGAGGUGAAUUUUCUUAAACCUAUUUUUUUGUCAAUAAUAUUUUCCUGAUUUCUUCCUUCUAUGUUCAAAUCUACAAAUCUGGUUACAUGAGAUGCGUGAUCAUGUUUUCCCCCUCAGAAACAAUCAAUACAACAGCCCGCUGAGGUUUAUGGGCUAGUUUGAGCCCAUUAAACGAGUUGUCUUUCGAAACCAAUAGAAAAAGAAAACAAUAGUAUAACUUACUUCAUGAUUGUUUUUUCGGCAGAAAUGAUGUUUUUAAUUUUACUUGACAUUAAUUUUUUAUUUUUAAAUAAUUUUAAUAUAUUGAUAUUAAAAAUAAAUUUUAAAAAAUAAAAAAAUAUUUUAAAAAACAAUGGUACCAUAAUCUUAAUUUUUUUUUUAAAAAUCCAACUAUUUCAACUGAGGUUGGGCUUAGUAGUACGGACCGGGCCGGCCAUUCUUGUGACAGCAAAAGACAACAUACAUAGGCCUAAUGGUUGCGCAAAGCUUUAGGUCCAAGGAAUGUUUUUAAAACGACAGCAUUUUAAAAUAAGCUGGAGUAUAGUUUGCUAAAAGAAAAACAUUUAUCCCUUAACUAUCACCCAAUUCUCAACUGGGUCCUAAACAAAACCAAAAUUAUCAUUUGCAUACCCAUCAAUCAAGCAUUAUCCAAUUCAACCCAUCAUUAUAAUUUAUGACAAGAAAAAAGUGAUUUAGACAACUAGAUUCUCCCCUUUUUUUAUAUAUUAUUAAAGAGAUCCUUUUCCACUAAUUCUAGCUUGCCAUCUUAGCAUUUAUGAGUUUGGAAGCUCACAAAUCAUGCAAUAAAUAAAUAAAAUUUUGUGUACUGGCUCUUCUUCAAUUGGUUGGAUUUUAAAACUGUAGAUUGUUGAGUUGUAAGUCCAUGAAUGGUAUAGAAUUAUUCAGUUAAAAAAGGAAAAAGAGAGUUGAUUGGGUGUUGUGCAGAAGAUGGGAUCCAAUUGAGAUUUGCUUGUUUGGCGAUCCAAUUGAGAAUUGUUUAUAAUCUGGGGAUGAAUAUGUCGUUUUCAAGAAAAAGCUCUUCGUGGUAAUGGUAGUUCUAGUUCUAGGGCUUCUAGCAAUAGCACAAACUACGAAGUACCAGUCAAAACGCUCUCUUUCUCCGUCAAGCUAGUAGAAAUUUAACGGUAUUUUUUCUCACUUGCAAUUUACACAAUCCUCCAAAAAGGCCAAAAGGGCAAUUCCGUGUUGUCUGCUCAGGUAACUCUUCUCCAUUGAUGUUUUUCAUCUCCUUAGAAACUUGAUUUACAGAUUGCAUUUUGCUUAUUUCAUGUUCUUUUAUUGGGUAAAAGAAAAUCCUAAGGCUCAGAAGACAGUUUUUGCAGUGACCUAAGAUUUUGAUGUUUUCUGCUCGAUUAAAUGCAGAAGGCAGCAACAGCAUGCAAAUCUAGGGUAGGAAAUUGGAUGAGAAGUACAAAAUAAAAUUGUUUCUGCUUUCUUGAGGAAAUGAAGCAAGAAUGGUUUUAGAGUGACCCAGUUUGGUCUUUUGCUAAAUAAUUGCUAUUUUCGAAUGCUGGCUUGGAUUAGCGUGCCUUUUAUGAGGGUUUGUUGAACACGAGGGUUUACUUUCUGCCUUAUUGAUUGAUGAAUUUUGUGGUGAUUUUACUUGGGAGUAAUCUUUACUUUCUUUUGUUUCCCUGUUAUAUUUUUCCUCUUCUAGUCUUCAUUUAUUAUCAAUUGCAUGUCAAUGUAGACGUCACCCAAUUUGUUUACUUGUUUUCUGUAGUCUAUAGGCAGAGCCCUGUAUAGUUAUUUUGCUUAUUAACGGUUCUGGGGAUCUCUGGGCGGUUAACUGUAAAUAGAAAUUUGAUUUAGUUUGGAUUUGUGUGCUGGUGAUCGAUAGAGUAGAGGGACAAUUUCAAGCUUUUAACUCUUUUAUCUUUGCUUGCUUGACAUUCUUCUGAACUGGAGUCUGGUGAUCUCUGUCCAGGGUUACAUUGUAUGUGACAUGAAGAGGACAAUACCAUGGACUGACCCGGUUGAUGUUAUAUCAUCGGAUGAAUCUUCUUCCUCGGAUUCAGAUAUAGAGCUUAAUGAUGGACUUGAUGGCCAGCGGUUAUCCAAUUAUGUUACAAUCGAUCAACCCUUCAAAGAAAUGACAUCUGAGGGUACUAACACCUAUUUGGAUUUGGAUCCUGGUUAUAUAUUGUUUUGAUAAAAUUCGUUUGUGCAUUAUGCGAUCACCAAGUAACUUCACCUGUAUGAUACCGGUUGUAUCUCUGUGAAUGAACUGUUAAAAUGUUCCUUGUCUGGUUGAAUAUUAUCCCGCUGCUAGUCCAUUUUUUAUUCUGUCUUGAGUUGAAAGUUACUCUGGGCGGUCAUGCACUUGGGUUUUGCACUUGUUUAACAGAUAUGCUCAACCAUUCAUCUACAUUUUAGCCUUACUAAAUGUGUCAUUGUUCAGGUGUGUUGAUUAGAAGGGCAGAAAUGUAUCAAGAUUACAUGAGGCAUAUCCCUAUCCCAGUACAACGUGGCUCUGCCAUCCCAUUUUCCUCAUGGGUGGGGUUAGGCAAAUCCAUCAAGCAACUAUAUCAGCAGCCCUUGCAUUACCUCACCAACAUUCUUCUAAAUACAUGGGAUCAACAACGAAUUGGCAGCGAGGACGAGCAUACGCCCUUGGAUAUCAUGAUUCAUCCUUGUAAAGCUGAAGCCACCAUCUGGCUUGUUGAAGAAGUUCACAGGCGCACAUCAUCACACCAUCACGUGGCUAAAAUCUGGCAAUCUGACCCAAUGCAUCAUGCUUUUGUAGACUCCAUUUUCCCAAAGUUAUGAAGCACAUCUCGACUUUAAGCUUGAUUUUGUUGGAUGUUCCCUGAUAGCUUGGGCAAGAGGUAUGAACUGUAUAACCUGCAUCUGAAAUGGAACUGAAACUUCUCUUAUGGUUGUUCCUUUAUUGUUAUUUUUUCUUUUGUAUAAUUGUCACGUGCAUAAAUAGAUAUAUUUAGCUUUCUUUUUUUCACCCUUGUUCUUGAUUCCAAAUAAUGUUCUUGCGGCUGGAAGGUCGGAAAUUGCUAGGACAUGCCUUUUCCAAAUUGACGAUUCUAAUUUAGUCCGUGAUAAACGAAGAACUUGGGUUUGUGUAGCUCACUGGCAUCUCUAAGAUGUGGCCAUUGGGAAAAGCAGUGACAUAUCAAUUACCAGUAAUCACCACAAGAACAUAAACCUUGCUGGAAAAGGUGGAAACGAUUACUAUCUCGAGCAAUGAUUCAUCUUCCGUGUAAUUUUGAUACUGGCUUGGCAAAUGAGUGGCAAUCAGAGCAUAUUCGGAGAUUCUUUGCAACACGAAUUAUCAUUCCUUGACCUGUACUGAUAAGUGAUAAGUGCAAAAGCUAUCGCUAAUUAUUCACUAUUUCGACUGAACUGGAACUCUUUCUCCUUCUCAUUAACAUCAAGCAGAAGAAAACUCGUAAGGCCAGGAACGUAGCCAUUCUACAGCAAAUCUCUUUCAACAUAGGUUCAACUUGGGUCAUUUCUGGGUGUGAUUCAGCACCUGACGUGAACUCGUAAAUUUUUCCACUGAUCUCUAUCGAGCUUGAUCCAGGCAUUUUGUGGACUCCUUUCUCCUUUAGGUGUAGCCUGACCUCCAUAUAUGUUCGAUAGAAGAACAUGAAUCCCAGUCCUCUCAGGCUCCAAUUCAGCUAGCCUUUCAGCUGUAUAAGCUGCAACUCUACAUUUUUGUGUAUCCGGCAAGCAGCUAAAAGAGAUCCCGAGAUCACGUCAUUAGGCUCCAUUGGCAUGCUAUUUAUGAGACAUAAGAGCUUCGCUCAACAACCCAGCUCGGCCAAGCAAAUCAACCAUGCACCCAUAAUGGACAGCUUGAGGAGCUAUACAAUAGAUAUCCUUCAUGGCCCUAAAAAUAGCCAGCCCUGUUCUACUAACCCGCUGUGGCUCAAUGCAGUCAGCAGUCCCACAAAUACCACUCCAUGUGGUUUAAUCCCUUGCUGCAGCAUUUUAUUGAAAAGCUCAAUAGCCUCGUAACCAUUUCCCUCCAUCGCCAUUGCACCGAAGGCUACAGUCCUGGCUGAAACAUCUCUUUUCAUCACCUUGUUGAAAACUUGCAUUGCACUCUUUAGGUCACCACAUCUAGCAAACACAUCAAUCAAGGCUGUGCCUAGUUGCAGAUCACAGUGAAUAUCUUUCAACUAGAUAUAACUAUGGAUCCACUUUGAAAGGUCCAGAGCUCCUAGAUACCUGCAGGCAAUAAACUUCAGGAUCCACCCAAGUGAUGAUCUUUAUUAGUCAAUGCAAAUAUUUUUUACACGUGUCAUAUAAUUUAACAAAAUUCAAACUGGAGGAAAGUUAAUGAAACACAUAGUAAAAGGAUAGAAUUUAUUAAACAAGAUUUGUAUAAGGGAAAAAUCCAAAAAAAAUAAAAAAAGUGGAAACUUUAUUUAUUUAAUUGAGAUACACAGAGAAGACAACGUUACAUGCACCCACCGGGCUUAGCAUUGGGUUACAAGUUUCUUGGUGAAACAAAGAUGGAUUAUCAGAUUCUUAUUCCCGGUUUCUUUAUCUUUACAUGAUCGCUUCUCGGUUUUUUUAGCACUUGAAAAAUUUAAGGAUAUUUGGAGAGAACCCUGCUUAUAGCUCUGAUGGUGUUUGGGGUAGUCCUGCAGCAGCCUCCAAAUAGAGAAGCCCCGGCUUCACGCCACCUACCUAUGUAUGAGACGAAGUCUUCAUCUACUACCACUCCACUUGAUUUCUGCAACAGUACACAUUGAAUCAAACUUCUGAAUCACUAACGUUAAGGAGAUGGUGCAAGUGAUUGAUCAAAACAGGAACAAAUUUUGCUUCGUAACGACAAUAGGAUGUUAAAGAGCUUCGUUGUCCUAAAAGGGCUGUUGUAUACAAAAAUAUUCAGCAAUUCUAAAUAACGAAUUAGCAACUGUGCAGUUCUUCAGCCACUCCUCCUUACGGGGACGUAGUACUUGGUGGAGAAACCCACAAAGAACAGCCUGUUAUUUGAAGAAAAAAGAACAUGAGAAUGCUCACCACCCACUGCUUAAGCUCAGCAUUGUACGUCUCGCCGCUGUUGGGAUAUAUGACUAUUGGCUUACUUGUUGCCUGCCAGAUUAACCAGCCAAAAAGCGUUAGUCCCAGAAGUUGAUUAGGUUGAAGCAGAGGUUCUUCUGGAAAUUUGGUUUUAACUAACAAAAAUAUUAUUAACUUCAGAAAACAGACCUUUUGGAUGGAGAGAACGAGUCCAUGGAUAAAUCUUGGAGGGGUACAGUUGAUUCCAACAGCAACAACUCGUUUGCAGGAAUCUGCAAUGGAGGCACACUCAAGGAUGGAAUCACCACUGACCACAUUAAUUCCAUCCUUGGAAUUGAAAGAGAACCAUGCUGGAAUAUUCAUCUCUUCCUCCUCAAGAAGCUCUGCAUAAGCCUGAUCAACAAAACCAAGCAAGAUUACGAGAGUUAAUUGCCAGAAAAGGUACACGCUAUGACAUUCUUAAUAAAAGCCACAGAAUCAUUAAUUGAUCUACUCAGAAAUCAACCAAUUCGUUUGUGUAAUUAUGAAAUAUAUUAACUACCUUUGCCUCGAGCUUAUUCGGAAUUGUCUCAAACGCAAUCAGGUCAGCACCUGAUUUCGCUAGAAUCUGCAACCUUCUCCUAUGAAAAUCCUUCAAUGUUUUUAGAGAAACUGCAUCACCAUAUUUCCCACUGUAAAGAGAGACAGCGGCAGAUUGUUGACAGGUAGAAGAAAAGGGAAUUACUAUAAGGCAUGAUAAUCUUGAUGUAAUAUUUGGUGAUUGCUUGUGCUAUAAAUAUUGUCGCAUAAUCUGAUAGCAAGAGCAAAAACUAUGACGUUAAAUCAUUUAGUUACUAACCUAUACUCGGAGCCAUCAGCCAAAUAAGCACCAUAGCUGCCAAUGGAAGCAGCAACUAAAACAGGACGUCUUGAGAUGUUUCCACUUUCAAUGUAAUCCGAAGAACCUUUGGUAGUACAUUUGUCAUAGUAAAUUUCCCUUGCCUCGCAUGCAAUUUCAACACUUCUCCUAAGCAAUAAUUCAGCUUCUUCUUCAGACAAACCUUUAGCCACAAAACCCUGAAUAGUAGCCUGUCACAUUUUAUUUUUUUUUAAACGUGUCAGCUUAAAAUUUAUCUCCACAAAAACUUGUAUAAUAUAAUUGGAUUAUGAAUAUUAAAAAUACCUGAUAAGAUGCUGUUAUUAUGAUAUUUGCACCAGCAUGAAGAUAAUCUAGGUGAACCUGUCAUGUUAAACACGAUCAACAAUAAUAUUCACGAUCAAGAAAGGAAUGCCGUCGAGGACAGCAACUAAUGUAAUUGCCCAAUUUUAGCUGUCCAUGAACUCUUUAAGCUUGUGGACUCAAGAACAUGUACACGAGAUCCAUUGUGUCUAACUGGUACAAUUGCACGAAAAAUUGGCACAGUUCAUGUUUCUUCAAAGUUCAAAAGAAUUGGUGUUCAACUUCGUACACUACAUUGCGCAUGUAAGGCCUGUUUAUUUCUAUAUUUUAAAAAUAUUUUUGAAAAAAUUUAAAUUUUAUUUAUUUAUUUAUUUAUUUCAAAUUAAUAUGUUUUUAGUGUUUUCAAAUCAUUUUAAUGUGCUGAUAUCAAAAAUAAUUUUUAAAAAAUAAAAAAACAUCAUUAACAUGUAUUUUGGUAUGAAAAGUUAUUUGAAAAGCAAUCAUAAACAUAUUACUAAACAAGUUUGUAGUCAAAAUUGGCCAUUUUCGUGCCGACUAGGGAUCAUUAUUAUCUUUCCAUGGAGUCGUUGAAUUUGAUGUAAUAACUUUUUAAUUUUUCAAAAUUCUAAGCAUGAAACUGGAAUAAAACAAAAAUAUUCCUUCUGGAAUUUGGCUAAAAAUCUGGAACAGAUAGAGAUUUUAAAUGAGAGGAUAAUUAUUUUAUUUUAUUUUAUUUUUUAAAUUAAUAUAAAAUAUUUUAGUAAUGAAACGAAACGAAAUGAAAUUAACGUAAAGUUAUAACCAAACAUAGCUCACGUUCACUCACUCUUUUUAAUUAUCUCUUUCAUUUCUUUGAUUUUUCCCAAAUAUUUUUGUUUUAUUUUUGUACUCCCAGUACUCUUUCAUCACAUAAUAACAUGAUAUUUAUUAUAGGUUAAAAGAAUCAUCUCAAAUUCAAUAAAUAAAUUUUUAAAAAUAAUUUUAUAUUGAUCUUUAAUAUAUACAUUUUUAGAUAAAAAUUAUUUAAAUUCGAAAUUUAUAUUAAUUUUAUUAAUUAAAAUAAAAUAUAAAAUUCAAUCCUAUAACUGUUUAAUUAUCAUAUCUGUAAUAUUAUCUCAAAAAAUAUCUUAAUUUAAAAUAUAUACUUAUACUUUUUAACUUGCACGAAAUAGACACGUUUCAUUUGUUCCGCAUGGCAAUUGACACGUCAAUAAAAACACCAUUGGUCUGGGCAAGGAAGAGCCUUCGCCACGUAAUUUGUUAGAAGAUGAUAACAAGCUCCCUUCGUAUCACAUAUGUAAGAGCCACGACACCGAUGUCCUAACUUUUGGUUCACUUCAUUAUCUCUAAGAAGCAAGUUAGGAUCAUAACAAAUUCACAAUUACCAUCAACCUAAAAUAGCUUAGCACCCGAAAGAGGGGAAAAAAGAUUCUUCUAAAAAUAAUAAAAAAUAUAUAUUUAAAUUUUUCAAUGCUCUUUUUACAUGCUUCAAGACAGUGUUAAAUAAAAUACUAUUUUACCAUCUCUUUACAAAAAUGCUAUUUCUAUAUAUUUUGCAAAAAUACUAAAAUACUAUUCAUUACAAUAAUAAUAUUUUUUUCACUCUUUUUUUCUUUUCUUUUUUACAUUUAUAUUUUUUUUAUAAAAUUAAUUUAUUGAUUCCAUGAUCUUUCCUCACCCAGAUUGAUUUAAAUUAUUUUUUAUUUUUUUUUAAUUUUAUAUUUUAAUAUCGGGUUGAUAGAAAAUUUUUCAAGUUAUUUUUAGAUUUGUUGAAUCAAUUGAAUCUUAUUAAAUUAUUAAAAUAGUUAUGUAUCAAAUAUAUUAAAAUAUAAUAAAAUCUUCUAAAUAAAGCAUAAGCUAAAAUAAAUUAUUUCUAACAGCAUCUUUUACAUGGGAGAUGCUAUAAGAAUAAAAUUUUCAUAAUUCCACAUAGAAAGGAACACGUACAACCUCUUUUUACACAUAAUUAAUUGUAGAUGCCCACUACCUCUUUAUAUACUAGUUAUGACAAUGCAUAAUUAGCAAUCAAACUAAAAAUAAAAUAAAUUGGACUCUCAAGUAACUAUGUAGAAAGAAAUCCUCCAACAUUAGAACCAAGAACACAAUCAAGAUUACAUAUACAACUAGUAAAAAAAAAAGGUUUCGUGCACGCUCGGAAACAACAUGAAAAAGAAAGGUGAUGAAAGGAAUCAUAUUUUCCAAUCAUAAUUUUUCUCUUUUAUGUUCACACAAAGAGGAAAACAAAACAGUUAAUUAAUCUGCACAGAGAAAUGCUUCCAAAUAUAGAGAGGGGGUGAGAGAGGGUUACCUUUCUAACAAGAUGAGGAGAACUGAUGAGGCAUUUGGCACUCCAGAGAGGGUCGUUAAGGUCAGCACCAUGUCGUUCAAGUUCAGUGGCGAAGCCGCCAUCAACAACAGCAUAGCCACCACAUUUCUGGAGUAAAUCCGUCAUCAACCUCGACGAAGUUUCAACGAUUCCCAAUUCCAUGUUGUUAAUGAUUAUGAUUAAGAAGAAAGACAGAAGAGGUUGAGAGAGAUGGCGAGUAGCCAAUAUGGAAAAAGAAACAGAAAGCACCAAGUUAAUGCUGUCCAAAUUCUUGCUAUCAAUUUAUAGAGACAAAAAAGGAGGUGCGGGUGUUUGGAAUUCGAUUAUGGUUAUUUUUUAAAGUGUUUUUUUAUUUAAAAAUGUAUUAAAAUAAUAUAUUUUUUUAUUUUUUAAAAAAUUAUUUUUGACAUUAACACAUAAAAUAAUCUAAAAAAAUAAAAAAUAAUGUUAAUUUAAAAUAAAAAAAAUAAAAAAUAAACAAAAAUAUUUUUAAAAUGAAAAAACAAAUAUUUAGACAUACUACAAAUUGACGUGUCGUUCUUACACACAACAAUAAAUGACAUGUCUAUCAUAUGUGAUGCUAAAAGUUAGUGGUCACGGGUAUAGUUUUGAAACCCGACUGGGCCCGGUGGGUAAACCUGGGACCCGGCUGACUGGGACUAGAACUGGACCUGGUUGAAAGGAAGGAAAAACCCGGUGGGUUGACCCGGCAAGACCUGGCCGCAAACUCGUUGACUUUUAUUAUUAUUUUUUGUUUUUUUUACUAAAACAACGUCGUUUUGAUUUAAAAAAAAAAAUUUGACCCAGCCAACCUGGUAACCCGGUCAAAACCUGGAACCCAGAUCUUGAAUCGGGCUGGCCACCGAGCCGGGUCUUAAAACUAUAGUCGCGAGCCUUUCCAUCACCAUUCACCACGACUUAUCCUUCGUAAUUCAGGAUUAACUGCUCCAAAUCAUGUUAAUCAAAUUUGUGCAAGUAUUAUGGUAAGUAUUGAAAUACCUUGGUACAUAAAUUUCUAUAAAAAUGAAAAAUAUCCUCCCUUUAAAUACCGUUUGAACUAUUGAUUUACAUAAUUACAAGUAAUUAAUCAUCGAUCCAAAUUGAGUAUUUUUAGAUAAUAGACCUCAACAUAAACUAUAAAAUUUGAUUUUGUUAAGAAACAUUUCAUGAGCAAGGAAUUAUAAAUUUUGCAUGGUACUAUAAUUAAAAGAGCCGAAGAAAUUAUAAAAUUGGAGUUCACAGUUAACUUCCAACUUAAUUGAAAGCAUAAGUAUGCUUAUUGUGAAAAUCUGAUUUAAAGAAUGGCUACGAUAUACAAACUCUUAUAUAUCCUCUUAUACAUUAAUUAAAAAUUAAAAACCAGAUAAGGAUGAAAAUCCUUCACUUCAGGAAAUGAUUCUUGCAAAGUAUUGUUGUUAUCUUCUCUAAUGAGUUGUAGUCUUGUAGAUCAGUUACGUUAGCGUUCUCUCUUUUACAAAGAUCUCAAUCCUCAGGUUGGAACAUAUAUUUUAUAACGAAAAACAAAUGUAGGCAAUUGUUGAAAAAACAUCAUAAAAUUGAAAAAUAAUAGAAGAGUUGCAAUCCAAUUAGAUAAAAAAAAAAAUCCUAAAUGAAUUAGGAAAAUAUACGAAAUUUCAAACGGUAACUUACAGGUUUUAUUUGAAAGUUUUUCUAAACUUUAAUGGAUAUGAAAUUUUAAUCCUAAAAAAAAUUAUAUAUAGCCUCUGAAAUUUUCUAUAAAAAUUCCAUUCUGAUUUAAUUUUUAGAUUGAAAAUUAUAUCAAUUAAUAUGGAGCUACAAAUUAAAAAAAUAAUUACAUCAAUCUUUCUAAAUUAAAAAAAAAAACUCAUCAUCAAGUUUAGAAUUGUUUUUACCUCAAUUUCAUGGAUAUUUAAUCUAAACUCCCCAACAUUUUUUUCUUUAUUUGCUUUAAGUGUGUAACAAUUCAGGAUAUCAACCAUGGUCCUUCAUCUUAAAAUUUGUAUAAAAAAUAAUAAUUGAUAAAUUAUUUUUUUUUUUAUUAACUUUAAAUUUUUAUUAUAAAUCUCAAACUUAAUUCAUGCAUAUAUGUUCAAUCCAUAUAACACUUGAAUACAUAUGCCUUUGUGAUAACAAUAAAAUUAUGAUUAAAAAGAAUCAACCUACUUUAAAUUAAGGGUUAAUUACAAAAAAUUUCUUAUAGUUUUAUCUAAAUUUCAUUCUCGUUUUAUAUUUUUAUAAAUUAUAUUUUUUACGAAUUUAUAUGUUCAAUAACAAUUUAUAUCCUCAAAAAUAUUUUUUAUUUGAUUCAAGAUAUAAAGUAUAAUUUAUAAAAAUAUAGAGAUAAAAUAAGAUAUAAAUCAAAUUAUCAAAGUACUAUUUUUCUAACUAUCCCUUAAAUUAAUAUAAAAAAAAAAUUAUUCAACGCCUUUCUUGUUUUAUUUACACUCAAAGUCUAUCUUAUUAAUGUCAACACCAUCAAUGGUACCAACCUCUUUCUUAGGUGGUGAAUAGAAACAAAUCCUGAUAAGGAUAUUUAUCAUUAUCUAAUAUAAAACUAGACACAGUCUGCAGCAGCUUGUAUCCAUCUUCACGUAAAAAAUAAAGAAACGCAGCUUACGUGUUGUAGGCUAUGGAGAUGUCUGCUUGAAUCUGAUCCAAAUUCAGUCCAGGUUCUGUCCAUUUUAAGGUUUUAAUUUUACAAAAAGAAAGACAAGGAAAAGGAGAAAAAGUUCCUUUUAGACGAGUUGAAAUUUGAGAAAGAAGAAACUUUUUUUGCGUUUUAAACAUGUUUUUUUUUUAAAAAAAGAAUUUUGUUUUAAAUUAAUAAUUUUUUAUGUUUUCAGAUAUUUUAAUACGUUAAUAUUAAAAAAUAAUUUUUAAAAAAUAAAAAAAAUAUUAUUUUAAUAUAUUUUUAAAUAAAAUAUAUUUUAAAAAAUAAAACAACAAUACUCUAAAUAGAUCAUAAAAGUCUUUUCCUUUCUUAUUUUUAAUAAAAAAAAUAACUCUGGAUAAACAGCCCAGAAACUUAAGAUUCCAACGCUAUGUCCUUUUCUAUGCUCCUAUAAGAAGUGAUUUAUAUGCAACAUUUGGAAGCAUUGACAAAUGAUUUUUAACUUGUACGAUGUUAUGGACAGAUUGUGUUUGUUAUAUAUAUAAUUAUCAUUUUUUUAAAAAAAUUAAGUAAUAUAUCCGAUGAUGAAAUUAAGGAUAUAAAAUAAUAUUAAGAUAUAAAGUGUAAAUGUGUUUAGUAAGUUUAAAGACAAUGGAUUAAUUAGAAUGGAUCCAAUAGAAGAUUAAUUUAUAUCUUAAAUCAAUUUAAAAUAAAAAUAUAUGCAAAUCGAUGGGUCUCAAACGCAAGGCACAAGAUAAAUAAAUAAAAAUUAGACAUGUAAAUUAAAAAAAUAAGAGAGAAAAAUAAAAAUAAAAAACUUUUUUGAUUAAUUUUUUUUUUACUCCUCCCUCUUGGAGGGCAGUACUUCGACAUCUUAAGUGUUUUUGUCAAAAAAUAUCUCAACACAAUAGCUUAAAGUAUUAGAUGAAAUCUCAAGAUAUGAUUUAUAUUAUUUUUUAACACAUCCCCUCAAGUGAAAGCUCUUUGGACUUGAAAUUUACACUGGCUCAUAUUACUUUAUAUUUAUUUUUUAUCAAAUAAAUGGGGAUACCGAGAUUUAAACUCGUGAUCGCCUGGUCAGUAAGACUCUGAUACAAUAUUAAAAAACCAUCUAAACCUAAUAGCUUAAACUGUUAAGUAAAAUUUCAGAAUAUAAUUUAUAUUAUUCUUUAACACUAUACUCUUUAUAAAUUUUUCUUCCUUUUAAUUUUGUGUGCUAAAUAAGGGCAAAGGAGGUGAAAAAUUUACUUCACCUCCUUUCCUCUCGUACUAAACAUAAUCUAACGACGAAGUUACGAGGUUAACAAGAGGUGAGGAUUUCUUUGAUUUUUUUUUAAAUAAACUAUAUAUAAAAAAUAUUUAUGCAGUAAAUUAAUUUUUUAGAAUAAAAAAAUCAUUAAAUACAAAUAUAUAAAGAGAUUGCAUUAUCGCUAAACAUCCAUAUGAAUUGUACCGAGAAGUAUAAAAUAAGAAAACGAUAUUAUUAUAUUCUUCUUUUAAUUAUUUAUUGAAUGAUCUUAUGCAACAUCUUUUCACAACACAAAAAUCUUCGAGUUUUUAACAAUAGCAUAAUAGCUUUGACUUAACUUCUUUAUUAUGUCAAUCAAUGAUAUAGUUUUAAAAUAGUAUAAAUGCUUUGCAAUUCAAAAUGUUUUUAAGUUCAAAACACUUCAAUUCAUAUCUUAAAUAGAAUUUCUAUUCUAUAAAAUACAUAGAUAAAAAAUAAAUUUAAGCAUACAAUUACCAUUAACAAUUUUUUCAACUAACAUUUAUAAAUAAAUAAUUUAUGGAAGUUACCAGUUUAAAUUUCACAAGCUUUAGGGUUACUUAAAAUUUAUAUGAUUGUUAAUUUUAGGACUUGUAGGAUUAGUCGAGAUACAUAUAAAUUAAACUGAAUAUUUAUAUUAAUAAAAAAAUAUAUUCAUAAACAAAUAAAUAUAUAUUUGUGUGUUCUCAUAAUUUUCCUUAGUGCGGGGGGCGGCUCCACCACAAGUGUUAAUAAGCUAUUAAUUUUUAAGUCCUCACUGUAUAGGAGGUAGUCUAGAUUAAAUGUUAGAACAAUUUUUUUUUAAUUUUUUUUUUGUUAUCAAUCGAUCAUCACUUUUCUUUAUCAAUAGGGGUUACGAAAUUUUAAGGUUCCACCUUAUUGCCACAUGUGACAUAUUGGUCUUCGUAUGUGCAGACACAGGACCAAAUGUGGAAAUCACAUGUUCCUUUGUACAUGCAGAGGACCGUAUCCAACAACUAACGUCGUUAAUAAGAUUAAUAGGAGGGAGGAGGUUUAGUUUAACGGGGUAUAUUUUGAGUUUGUUAUUUAAUAAUUAUAAGUUUGAAUUUUUUUUAAAAUUAUUAAAUAUUUAUAUAUUUAUUAAUUUUAAAAUUUAUAAGAUUAAUUAAGAUAGACGUUAGAAAUAAAAAAAAAUUAAAAGGGUUAACAAUAAUUUGGAUUUCCAUGCUUAUCCAUUACAAGCUUGAUUGUAAGCGGGGCUGGCUAGAUUUUUUAUUUUUUAUUUAUUUUUUUAUAUUUUUAAAUUAUUUUAAUAUAUUAAUUUUAAAAAACAAAUUAUUACUAUAAUACCAAAUAAGCUAUGUAUAUAUAAAGAAACUAAAUAAAGCAAUGUUUGAAAUGACCAUAAAUUUGUCGUUUUAGGUACAGCGAUUUCCAGACGAAAGGAAGUGGGUAGGCAAGCAACAUCAAUUUGAUCCGACUGGGAGUUCCACUUCCACUUAUUGUUGGAAAAUCUUGAAGGACUCGUGCGCUAUGAGACAGGCAACGAUCUUAUCGUGUUGAGCCUAAAAGGAGACAUUCUUUGUGGUCUGGAGAAUUUGCUCACACAAUCACUCUCCAUUUAUAAAAUUCCAGUUGAUUAAAGCUUGCUCGCUAGUGGAUCGGGAUUUUUAUUUUUAUUUUUUUUACUCGGUAGGAGAAAGCUUCAAAUUUCUAAGCCUGAAAUCUAUUUAAUUUUGAAAUCUUCAAGUUUAGCCAAUGGGCUGCUGUCGUACACACAAACGUGUCAGGGUUUUGUGCCCUUUAAGUCCAAUAUCCGCUUAAUGGGCGGGAUGGGUUUGAUCAGAGCUAUCGUUUUGAGGCUGAGUAUUGGGCUUCAGGUGGAGUUGGACAAAUGGGCUUAGCCUGUCACGACCCGAAUCCCGGAUCCGUGACCGGCAACGUAGGAGCGGUGUCGAAAGGACACCUCACCUACGCUAAGCCUCAGAACGGAAAUAUCAAAAGAACAAUUUGUUCAAAAAUACGCAGCGGCUCAUAAUAUUCAGAAAUAUUAUAUUAUUCAAAUACUGAUGAAACCGAAAGAUAGUUAUUAAAACAAAAAUAAUAAUUCAUAAUACUCAUUACAUUGUCAAAAUCCAAAUUUAAUUAAACCAAGGUAACAGUGGAGCGUCUAAGACAUCAAAUCAAAACUGAAAGGAAAACCUCGCGAACAAGCAAGGCAUACCGACCAGAACUGAAGAAGCGGAAACACUCAACAAAGUCUCAGAAACUAAGAACCUGAAAUAAUAUUAAAAAAAUGAGGGUGAGUCCAACCAACUCAGUGAGGGAAUAACAUUUAAUAUACAUUUCAGAUAUUAAUAAUUUGUAAGAUGAUAUAUCUUAAUAUACAUAUACAUAUACUUACUAAACAUAAUAUCAUAACGUAACAUAUUAUCAUAACGUAGUGGAUUACAUGUCAGAGAACAGAUGAUACCCGAAGGUGACCAGAUGACACCCGUCGGUGACCAGAUGACACCCGUCGGUGACCACUGUGGGAUGAUCAAUCGCCACAGGCUGAUGCCUCUCUCACCAGCUAGGUAACAGAAUACUAUGUGCACACAUGCUAACUAUUCUCCGUUAGCAUGGAGUACUGACAAGUCCCAUAUCAAGGCAUAACAAAUAUUCACAUAAUCAUCAAAGAAUCGUAUAUCAUAUCAAAUAGAAUUUACUUUAACAGAUUGCGAAUGCAAAUUCAAGAAUAAAUGAGUACUCGGAAAAUAAAGCAACAUAUAUAAAUAUUCAAGAAACUUAGUCGUACUCAUUGUAUAAUCAACAUACAUAUUUAUUUAUAUUAUAUGCAUAUUAAAGAUUAUUCCACUCACCCGGAAAAUACUGAACUAAAGGAAUGUCAGACAAAAGACCCGGAAAUCCGAUUAAGGAUCGUUAGGAGAACCUACAAUAAAUAUAUAAAAUAUACUCAAAAACAAUUCAAAAAAAAGAUCUCAAUGCAUAAAAUCAAACCGGGCUUAAUCUCCCAAGUUUAGGGACUAAAACGACAAUUUUCCAAAACAGGGACCAAAACGUAAUUUUACCAAAAUUGGAGGGCCAAAUUGUAAAUACAUAACCAUACUGAAAUUAUCCAUAAUUAAUCCUCAAUUCUGUCCAGGAUAUAUCAUUAUGCUCCAAGGACCAUUCUGGAACUUUACCAAAUUUUUAGGGUCAAAUUAUACUUUUUGUCAAAUUGGAGGACCAAACUGAAAAUAUUAAUUAUACUGGAAUUUUGUCCUUAAAUCAUCCUCAGUUCUGUUCAGAACCUCAAUUUAUGCCCCAGGGACCAAUCUGUAAAAUUUCCAAAGUUCGGGGACUAAACUGCAAUUUCUAUAAAUUGAGGGACCAAACUGAAUUUUCGUCAUCUUCAACCUCAAACCCAGAAUUUCAACAGAUCACCUACUGUUAGUUCCAGAUUUAUACCUCAACUUCAUCAUUCAAUUCAACCAUAACUCAAAAUCAUCAUAUUUCUCUACAAUCUCUCCAAUUCAACUAAAUAAUCAAAUACCCACAUCAAUCAACUCCUUAAUUCAAACUAAUUCAUCAAUAAACUCAAAAUUCAAAACUUUAAAAUUAAUCAAAAACCGAAAUUUAACAUAUUAUAUACUUAAAACCAUAAAUCUUACCUUUUUACUUAUUUCCUCUACUUCUUUUCUCCUUUUCCCUUUAUUUUCCCUUAUUUUCUCUUCUUCUUCUUCUUCCUCCCUUCUCUCUCCCGUAGCUCUCUUUCUCUCAAAAUCAGAUCCUUUUUUUUUUUUUUUUUCUUUUCUUCUAUUUAUAUUUAUCAACUAUUGGUCAAUUACCAAACUACCCUUCAAUCAUUAUACUUACUAUUUAGCCUCCAAGGGCUUUAUUGUAUUUUCCAAUCUUUUUAACUCAAAAUAUUACAUAGCCCAAGAUAUAUAACGGUAGAAAUGUUCAGAUUUUUUCUUCUUUAUUCGCAACACUGGAUAUGCAUACUUCAAACCGGAAAAACAUAAAGCCAGAGUGAGCAUGGACAGAGAUCGAUUCAAACGACGGUCCAUGUUUCAAACCUGCAAAUUUAAGUACAAUUCUCAUAAUUCACCGUUUCUAAUUUAUAUUUUUAAAUUAUUUUUUUCAUUUUAAGAAGGUUUAACACGGAUUGAGACCAUACUAUUCAUUGCAUUGACUCGUAUCCAAAAGCUCCCAUCAAAAGCAAAAUUAGCAGGUGGUGUUGAACUUCAACCAGGUAAAGGCAGCAGCUGCAAGAACUGGUGCCGCAAAAAAUGUUCACAGGCUUGCAUCCUCAAAGGGCUGCAGUGCCAUGCCACUAACCGGUUAUUCACACAUCCCGAUCCAGCCAAUCUACCAAGACUGCUUUCCUAAAACGCAAGUGCUAUCACGCAUGAAUUGCAGAGCCCUUGCAGUGCCAACACAUCCUGUGCAAGAAGCACGGUAGCUUGUAAUAAGCAAAAGAUUACAACUUCAAAACAAAAAACCACCUUAUUUCCCCAUUCUUGCAGAAUAAUGAAUAGACUGUUUUUCAUCUCGUGAAGCAAGAGUUUGUAACCAAUCGAACUAAGAGCUGGAUGUCGCAACUCUGACUCAUUACAAAAUGAAUGGGGGAGAGACGAGGAGGAGGAAGGUAAAGAACACAACUUAGGGUCCGCGAGCAGGGGUCAAACAGAAACAGGCAGAUGCCUGGUCUUCAGGUAUCAUCCCUCCUCCCUUGCUUGUAUCAACCGCUUCUAACAUUUUCACCACCUCAGCCAUUUCAGGACGUUUUUCUGCAUUUCCAUCCCAGCAUUUUCGCAUGACAUUUGCAAAAGAACUUGGACAACAUCUUGGAAUCUCUGGCCGUAAAUUCUGCCAAUGAAAUCAUGAAGCAUGAAUUUCCCAAUAUUUGAUGACCUUUGGCAGGAUGCUAGAUCUUAAGACCUCGAACAAAGUUUUAGCAAGAGAACAAAAUGUUUUCAUAAAAAGAUAUCAAUUCUCUCGAGAGCUUUACAGCUAACUAAGCUCAGCCUUUUCCUCCCUUGCUUGUAAAAACCAAUAAAGGCAUUUGAAAGCAUUACGAGGGAUAUCCAGUGAUGUCAAUUCCAUAUUGCCACUUUGCUAAAAGUAGCUGGGAUGCAUCAAUGCUGUACAAUAAAUUAGAUAGAAGGCCAUAUGAAUCACUGAGUUUGAAAGAAGAAAUGGACCUGAGUCAUUCAUGAACUGCUGACAAUGGCUCCCUCACUUGCGAGAUGCCAAAUCACAUGUCAUGUGGAUAACAAUAUGGUCACAAAAUUCUUUCCUAAAUCCAUUAAUUAUGAACGGUGAUAACAAUUACUUUGAGCCUCCUCAGGUCACCAUACAACCAAAAGAAAGAAAGAAAAGCACGAACAAGAAAGAUAAGAAGAAGAACUAGGCAUGAGGGCUUGCUUAAAUUACAAAACUAACCUGUCGAACAACAGCAGAGGAGACAUCAGCGAAGCUAAGAUUAGGGUAAGGCAUGUCACAACAAUAUAUUUCCCAUAAGCAGAUGCCAAAGCUGUAGACAUCACAUCUUCUGUUAUACGGUUUGCCAUCAAGAACCUGCAUAAAGUAUCAGGUUAGAUAGUUGCAAUUAAAUAACAAUUCAAAUAUGCAAAUUCAAUUGCAUCCCGUGUCCAUAUGGUUAUAAAUUUAUAAUUAACAGAAAAAACACGCCCUCACAGAUUCCAUAUUGAACAUGGCACAAGGAUUGAUUUUAUCAUCAUUACACAUCAUUUAUAUGCAUUUCUGGACUUGUUUAUAUAACCAAUCACUUGUUAAUAUACAAAAUUUUCUUCAUAAACCACUUCUGCCUAGGGAAGAAAAGGUUUUGUUAAAGCAUGAAAUACCUCUGGGGCCAUGUAUCCAAGUGUGCCAGUCUCACCAGUCAUCUCACAUGGAUUCUGAGCUUCAACACGGGCAACACCAAAAUCAGCAAUUUUGAGAUUUCUAUGAGAAUCUAGUAACAUGUUUUCAGUCUUGACAUCACGAUGUACAAUCUUCUUUGAAUGUAGAUAGCUAAGACUGCAAAUUAGUAAAACUAGUCUGUAAUUUCAUUUUUUUAGGGAAUUUUUCAAUAAAAGAAAAUUAACAAAAACUAAAACUCACCCCCUAGAGAGAUCCAAAGCAAGUUGGAUCACAACCUUAAAAGCAAGUUUUUUUCGACUAUUUCUUAUCAAGUAGUUUUUAAGCGUCCCACCAGGGAGAUACUCAACAACAACACAGCAUGCCCUAGCAGGAAGGGAGAUGUAACCAUCAGAUGGGUUUUUGGCAGGAAUUUUCAGGUUAGAAGUUCCCAUUGAUGCUCCAACAAACUGUUAAAAAACAUAAAGCAUCAGAAAUAAAAAUAACACAAAUGAUAAGCUUAUGGUAACAACUAGAAUGACUGGGAGGAUGAUCCUUCAAGCAUAUGGUUUCAACUCAAAAAUCUUGCUCAAGUAGAAAAGCAUUUUUCCCGUUGAUGUAUGUCAAAAUUUACAUAUAGUUUAUGAAUUCCAUGCACUAUGAUAAGAUACAGAAAUAUAACUAUGUUUAAAGCAAAGUGUCAAGAAAACCAUGCUUGCCAAGAGGAACCUGUAAUGCAAUUACUGGCAAGGUAAUACAAGAUGGACAAUUGCAUGACCCAAAAAAGCCAACUUUCAUGUAACAUGAUGCUCAUAAUAAAAUGAACAUAACAAGUUUAAGAAUGAGUUCGUACUUUUGUAACAUUAGGAUGGUCAAGCUUGUGCCAGACAGCAACCUCUUGCUGAAAUGAUGCCCGCACAGCAGUGGUUUCAGCAGUUGUGGCAAUACCAUCCUCCCCCCAGUCCAACAUUUUCACUAUAACAUCCAACAACAGUUCAGUGAGGGAUCAACAUCAACAUGCACAGUGCUGAAUGCUAACAAUCUCUCCAAUUGAAACAGACCGCAGUUUCAUCAAUGCUUAUCAGGAGUUGUAGUGAAAAGAUUUUGCAGGCAUUAGAUAUCAAACAAACCAAUUCAGACAGAGAAUGGCAAAAUUUUCUGAACUUCCAAUGACUUCUUGAGCAAGACAAGGAGAAAUUAGAGAGGCACGUAAACAUCCUAAAAUCAUUGCAUGAUAGUCAAUGAUCAAAAGAUGAUAAAUUUCAAAGGCAUUGCAAAUUUAAUGAUCACAAGCUAAGUUCUUAUAAAGUUAUAAUGGAUAAUCCAAACGAGGAUGUCAGCUUAUGAAAUCCUUUUCUUGCGCCCCCCCUCCCAAACUAAAAGAAGAGAUGCUCCCACCUUCCAAGCCUGAAAUACUAAUGAAGAUGAAUGGUUUGCCUUGUUACUUUUUUCUGUUACCCCCAAUCCAGGCAGGCAGCUUAAAAGGGACGCAUUCAAAAGUAGCAUACAAAAGAAUACGCAAGGGAUAGGGAAAACUGUUUCCUAGGAUUAGCGAUAAAAUGACAAGGCAACAAAGGAAAUCCAUUUCAAUAUGUCGUUGCGAAUACAAUGCCUGGCAAAACUUUAUAUUCAUUUCCACAUAUAUGCAACAAAAUUUAGACCAUGUUAAUAAGCAGCAGUAUAAAGGCAACUCGUAACAAAGAUUUGGAGGACAGGCAAAACACAAUAUCCUUAUUUACUCUCUAGCAUGACCUUUACAGAAACAGAAACCAAACAAAAUUAAGAACUCUGAAUAUCAAAACACUAAGAACCAUCACGUAAGCAUGAAAAGACACGGAAAUACAAAAUGAGCGCUGGGAAACAGAGAUCAAUGACCUGCAACAUCUUGGUUAUCAUAAGUACCACGAUACACGGUCCCAAAAGUACCACGGGCUACCUCGUGCCUUAUUUCCAAUUUAGACGAAUCAAUUUCCCACUCUUCUUUAGGCCUUUGGAUUUCGGUGUUCCUUGACCAGACCCUGCUCAGGUGCUUCUCAAGCUGUGCAUCCAAGCUUUUGAGAUCGAUUUUAUCAGCUCGAAAAAACAUAUCUUUGCUACUCACACCUCCUAUACCUUUCACCUUUGAAUUGGCACUACCUUCCUGGCUAUCCGGUUUCUUCUCUGGCAUGACAUCACCGGCAUCACCGCUUGUUUUUGAAUCCAUUGUAAAGAACCAAAUACAAGACAAUAGCCGUGAAUCCCAGAGACAACCUUAAAUUCUAGACGACAAUCCUAGAAAAGUAAAACAAAAAAACUUCAAUUUUUCAUCAUCAUACUCAUUGCCUUCGAAUUCCCAUGAACUGAUCAAGAUUUUAAGAUCAAAAAGGGAAAAGUUUCAAAAUUCUUAUGCAAUUACAAAUUAAAUGUGCAAAACAAACCCCUCCUAAGAUCAAAUUACUAAUCAAAGAUAGCAAUGAAAAGUUUUGAUCAAGUAGAAACCCAGUUUCACCAACCCAAAAUCCUAUUCAAGUUCCCUCCAAUAUUGACCUUAUAACCAAAAAAUUUCACUAUUUUGUAAAUAGAUUGCCUACCAAUCAGAAUUGAGAAUAAAAACUCUUUGUUAAUGAAUUGACCCUUACAUUGGUUCAAAAACUAAAUUUCCCAUCAUCGACUGUAUUUAUGUUUAUUUCCCGUAUCCGAACGAAACAAAACUGCGAACAAAAACAAAAGGUAAACCCUAAGAAAACGACCCAAUUCCCACCAUUAUCUAAACAAAGCCCAAUAAAAUAAGAAUGACCCAGAAUUCAAAAACUAGCAAAAUUUCGAAAAAUCAAAGCUUUAUGUACAAUAAAAUAAUAAUAAUAAUAAAAAACCAGCACGCAUGCAAGCAAGCAAAACCUAUAAACUGAAAAAAAAAAAUUAACCAAAAAAUGUCAAAGAAAGGGCAAUAAAGUUGACUUUGAAAUCUCUAGAAAGGGAUACGAAGAGCAAGGAUAGAGUCGGUCAAGGCUCAAUGAUAUCAUAUUCACCAUCAUCAACAUUCCCUUUGUUUUCUUCCACACAAUAUAAAUGGAAGAAGAGAAGAAGGUUUUUUUGUGGAUGGGAUUUCAAAGAAAAUUAUUAGCUUAGAAUAAUCGAACAAAAAAUAAAGCAACUGUUAUUAACCAAAUAGAGUGGAGAAGGCGUGGGAAGCGCCGAGGUUGGCAAAAAUACGGCCUGUUGGAGAGAGAGAGAGUGUGUUUCUAAAUAUAGCAUCGGAAAGUGUGUUUAAAAGAAAAGUAAAUCAAAGUACAAAACCAGUGUACGAAUACCAUGUCCCUGUGCACUCUGGUUUUGAUAUACACGAAAAACAAAUCCGACCAUCCAAGACAUGUUAGUAUAUCUCCAAGGAAACAGGAUCAAGUUAUAAAUUAGUUGGCUAACUUUACGAGUGAUUUGCAACCAUAAUUGUUCAAAUAAUCUUUAGUCCAAAUCGAUUUUGAUUCUAUAUGGGAUGGAAGUUUUCGAUAUGUCGAGUAUUUUUACAUUUUUCAAGCGGAUAUACUACUAACUUGUCUUGGAUAUACGAUUAUAGGAAUAUGAAAAGUGAAGGGAUAAGAAAUGAUUUUCAGCCCUUUUUAUCUAGAAAAUCUAAAUCUAUCAUAGUGGAUUUUCGGAGCCACCAAACCAUAUCUUAUCAGCAAGGAUAGGAAAUGCUGCUGUGUUCAUUUGUCCUUUUUAUACAUCAACUUCAAGAUAAUUGCUGCAAACAUCAUGAUGUUUUUUUAAGAAAAAAGAAAGUAAAACGUAAUAUGAGGAAUUAAUGUAAAUGUUUCCAGAUUGAUAAAAUCAAAUUAUUAAAGUUGAAUAGUAAGUAAGAAGUCAAUUAAAACUUUUUACUUGAAUUGUGGCUUUGUACUACUUUGAUUCUGCUCAUUAAUUAUUUUUAAAGUAUUUUAUUUAUAAAUAUAUUGAAAUAAUAUAUUUUUUAACUUUUUAAAAUUUAUUUUUGAUAACAUUAUAUUAAAAUGAUAAAAAAAUUGAAAUUAAAAAAAUUCAAUUUUUUUAAAUACUCUUGAAAGACAAAAAUAAACAGGCAAAGCUACUAUGAGCCGUAAAUAUUGAAAUUAGAAAGUCACAUGUGAGAUCUUUUUGUCACUGUCAAAGUCGAACAGUGAACAUAUAUCUUAAUUAAUUUAUCGUAAAUUAACACAACAAUUACUAAUAUUCAGCUGGAUUCAUGUCCAGACUCGGCCGUCCUUUAAUUUCAUUGUAAAGACCAAUAUUGUGGUAUUGCCAUCAACUAAAACAACAGCAAACUAGGGAUGUAUAAUUUAUAACGUUCUGUUAACAAGAGACACGAAUCUCAACAUGAGAAUGCUUGUAAAUAUAUUCUGAGUGGCUGCUUCUGGGCAUUCUGAUGAAGUUCUAUCAUUCCCAGAAGGGAAAAGCUGUAGACACGGAAUGCUUGGGUUGAGCAUAGAAGUUAAAUAUCUAAUUAUCAUGUCAAGAAAAAACAAUCACGCAUGCAUGCAUAUAUGUACAAGAACUAACGCCGGGGAGUCUUAACGCAGAUUUGAACUUUGAAUUGUUUCUCUAUCUGUCUUCUUUUCUUGAAGUUAGACGAACCUGGUCUAAAUUAAGCCAGGUAAAGUGAGAGAUUAACGUCCUUGAAGAAUUUAAGCAGUUGAAAGUUUCGAGAGGUGUCUUCAGUUUAUGCAGCCAGCAUCCUUUAAUUGUGCAUAUCAGGCAACAAAUUCAGACAAUCUCGAUUGGAAAAAAAGAAUAAAAACAAUGAGAUUUGUGGCAGUGGAUCUGUUAGGGAAGCGAGUGUAGCAAUUAGGUUUUGAAGCGUAAUGAUCAUUGUUUUUAAGAUAUUAAUAUUUUUUAUUAUAUUUGUUGUAGAGUUAAAAGUUAUACACAUCCAUGGUAUAGCACUAUAGCCAAGUCUUAAAACUAGUAAAGAAUAACUUCUAUAAAUUUUUUUUAAAGUUUUAUUUUGUUUUCGAUGAACAUAAACAAAAAUUUUGUAAAGAAAAAUAGGUUGAGAAGAAUAUUAUUUUUUAAUUGAUUUAUGUCAAUAUCAAACUGAUAUUUAUAUAAAAAAAAUACAUUUUCAAACUAAUGUUUUUGUAGAAAUUUAAAGGCACGCAUAGUGUCUAUAGAAUUUAAUUUAAAUGGCACACUUAGGCCAAUAUAUAUAUAUAUAUAUAGAAUUCAGGAUGCAAUUUUUUAAUUAAAUUAAAAAAAAAUAACUUGACAAUAGAUAUCAUGCAUGAUUAAUUAAUUAAUUUUAAAAAUAAAAAUUAUUGAUUUGGAAUUUCUUUCCUUCCUAGUAUAGGAUAGAAUUCUUAAUUUUAUUUAUGUAACAUUCAAACUAUUAUAACAGUGGAGUUAUGCUUGAGCCUACAGAAUGAAAUUAUGGAUCGGAUUUUUGAAUGAGCCUGGAAUUUGCUAAGAUCACAUGCAUGUUCAUAAUAGUUUGAAUAUUAGAUAAAUAAAAAGAAUUCUAAGCCACAGUUAUUACCAUGCCAAUUAAACUAGUAAUUAUGAUAGAGCUUUGCCUGUGUUGAAUUCAAAGCCAUUCAUUCCAUGUGCCAUUUAUUUAAUGUCAAGUGUUAAUAAAAAUAUAUUAUGAUUGUUGCUAAAAUCAAGACAUAUAUCUCAUAAUAUAUAUAACAAUGAAACUUAAUAUAAGAGUCGUUAUAAAGUAUAUAUAUUAAAACAUUUAUUUUAGUAAGUUUCUUAGACAAAUUUCAUUAAGAGUUAAUUUUAUUGCAGUGGGGUCUUGUGUUGACAGUUUCAAACAUGGCCAAAUUAAGUGUAUUUAAGAGAAUUGAAGGGCAGGUCUUUCUGUUUUUUCAAAAUAUUUUUUGAAUUAUUUUUCAUUUAUAUAUUAAAUUAAUAUUUUUUAAAGUAUUUUUUAUGACUUUGAUGUUUCAUUUAUGUUUCAAUAUUAAAAAUAAAAUAAAUUUUAAUUUUAAUUACAAAUAUAUUUUUAAUUACAAAUAUAUUUUUACAUAAUCACUCUAUAUCAUAUUAUAAAACAUACACAACUUGAAUGAUAGAGCAAUGACUAGACUUUUAUAUGGGUUAUGUUGAGACUAUUUGAUAUUGUGGUAGUAAUUUUUUUAAAAAAUAUUUUUUAUUAUAAAUAUAUUAAAAUAAUAUAUUUUUUAAAAUUUAUUUUUAACAUUAAUAUAUUUAAUCUAAAAAUAAUAUAAAAAUAUUUUUUAAAAAAUAUUUUUCAAUCACAAAAACAAAAAUGAAAUUGGUCAUGAAGCUUCAGAUUUUCAAUUGGAGUUCUCCUAUUCCUGGAUCUUGACAGACUUUAUCAACGUUAGUUCACGGGCUUUACUCCAUCAUCUUCAUUGUUGAUUUCGAAAGAUUCAUGUGCCUACAGGUGUGCGUCUUUGUUUUCUGGGUUAACAACAAAAGUGCCUCUUGAUAUAUAUAUAUAUAUAUAUAUAUCCUCGCUAACAAUGCUACCCUUUGCUAGAUUGUUUGGAUCAACUUUAACUUUAAUCUUCUUAUCUGAUAGUUUUGAUAUUGUUGCUUUUUCGUUCAUUUUCUCUUUUGAGAAUAGUUCCUAGAUUCGAUGGCAUGCACAAGAAAUUCUAGCAUGAGAUAAUUACGACAAAAUGAAAUCAGUAAAAAUAAUAACAAGCACGAAUAAGAGAUAUUUUAAAAAUAAUUAAGUAUUGUUCAUGAUUAUUUAUUUAUUUAUAUAUAUUAUUCUUGAUUUAUUUGAUUAUAUAUAUAUAUAUAUAUAAAAAUUUUUAUUUUAACUUGAAUUUUUUAUACUAUAAAAAUGCAUUGAAAAAUCCUGUAUUUAUAUAUUUUUUUAUAAAAAAUAAAAAUAUUUAACCCUUAAAUAAUUGUGAAUUGAAUCGUAUAACUAGCUAGAUAACUUAACCUUGUGUUUAUCUAUUUGACAUAUAAUUAUUUGAAAUACUUUUAAAUGUGAUAAUAUUGAGUAUAAAGCUAAAAUAUAUGAGGUUUAAAGAAAAAAAGAAAAAGAAAUGCGAUGUCAUAAAAAAAAUGUCAAGUGAUAUUCAUAACAAGCCAGACAUGAUUAUUUCUUACAUCUAAAAUGCAUUGCUAGCAAGAAUUCAGUAUUCUUUUUUUUCUCUAGACCAGAAGGCCAAGAUGUGACAUGUCGUCUACUACUACGAGAAAUAAACUUAGGAGUCAAGGUAAAAAAAAUUCUGGAAAGAAGGUUUUUUUAUUUAAAAAAGGGUUUGAAAUCAACUCCUUAACAACAAUAAGCCCAAAUAAAUGAUUCCACGAGAAUCAAACCAUUGCCCGGGUCGGAGGAUUGCAAGAUCAACAGAGGGUUAUGGGCCUGAGUAGUGUUUCCCAUGAGUUUUCUUCAGCAUUCAUAUUAUUCAAGUACAAAAUGAACUCGGGCUCCCAAUUAUUAACAUGGCAGGCAACAGGACACGAAUUUCCCAUGAGUUUAUUCGUAUCAAAACUGGGCCUACUGGGUUUUUCAAUUACCAUGAUUGGACUCGUAAGACAUAUAUAUAAACUCACAUGCUACUCAUGGACCUCUUUUAGACAGGCCCAAUAUUACAGGACUCCUAGAAGCUGAAGGCAAUGGACAUUUAAAGGAUUCCAAGAACAUUCCAAGUCCAUUGAAAUGAAGGUUUCCCUGUUUCAGUUAAAUCUUUUUUAAAGAAAUCAUGCCCCCAUCAAAACUUAAAUUAAUGGCUACCUGACGGUGGCGGACGGAUUCCGAUGAUCCAACUCCACGUCAACAAAUACAGUGUGAAUAUAACUGGCACUUGCAAUCUAAAUUUUGGCGUGAGUGCAUUGUUCAUCACACAUUAUUUCUCUCCUUCGCAAAAAGCCCAUCCAAAUGGAUUUGUAUUUUUACUCCGUCGUAGUUCGUGGAAGCUCACCAGCCUAGACGAACUAAAAGUUAGCACUCUGUUUUUUCAUCCUCGUCUGGUAGCCUUGUCUGUUUGGAGAUCAGGAAAGUUCCUUCAGCAAGAUAUCAAGGAAAGAUCCAAAAUCCUGACUAAACCACACAGCUAAAAACAUUAAUUAAUAAAGCCAGUCGCCAGAAAAAACUCAAAACCCAGAAAAAGUUUCUAGCAAAGCCCGCCCCACGACAAGAUACAAAUGUUUUGAGGAGCUGGCCGUCUAUAUAUAUAUAUAUAUAUAUAUAUUUUAGUAAGCUGUAGUCACUAGUAAGACACUGCCUCUCAUGAUUACUGUACCCGUGACUUUUCUUAUGGUCGCUUGCAACUGCAAGAGCAUCCCAAAUUAAACAAUUAAAGUCUUGAGUAGUUGGUCAACUAAACUUUUGUUUAAUUCACAGUCUGACAUUCAAGAAAGGUCUUAAAAGCCACAGGCCAUCUUCUUAGUUUAUACAUAAUUACUAUAAAAUUGCUUAACUCGGAGAUUAAAAUAUAUAAAACAUGUGUAGCGUAGUACUCGCCACUAUCUUCCACUGAUUUUCUUUCCUGCUACGUGUGUUACUUAGGCGUUAAUCUCAAUGUUAGCAAUACUGUCAAUAUUGCAGAGUCUGAUAACUAUGUGAAAACAAAGCUGUUCUUUCCCGCAAGAACAAUAGAACAUGCUAUAAACUAUAAAGUACGCAUGUUAGUCGACACUAUGAUUUUUGGCAUGGAGUUCAUAUUCCAGAGAAUGUGGGGAGUUGGGAAAGAACAAAUAAUUAAUGCACUCCUAUCCAUAUUUAUCAUUAUCUCAUGAGCUGCUUGCUUUAAUUUGCCUGAGCCUGUUAGGUCUGGGCUUUCAUACAAGGAUGGGGUCUCACGUGAAACGCCGAUCUUCAUCCUUGAGGGACCACAAGCACCCUCCCUCUUUAAGGACCCUCCCCCGUUGUUACCGCUACACACCCAACUCUGGGAAAGUGAACGGCUUCUGUUAGAUGAACUUAAGAUCAUAGACGCUCAGGUAGUUUACUGGCUUUUCAAUGCGCAGCUUAACUCAUCCACCAUGUUGAAGGGGCGUAAAUAGGAGUGGGUGAUCGAGAAACGAGGGUCUUAAAACUUUGAUGUGAAGGGCCAACGAACACUAUAACUAACGUCCUCUGUAGAUGUUUUCUUGCUCCCAGUGCACAAACCAUGGAGUGAUCAGGGUUCGUUCUUGGUUUGAUUUGAAAAUAAGAAGCAACAUAUAUAUAUAUAUGAUUGAAUUGACGUUAAUUUUUUUUUUUAAUGUCCGAAUCUAUAUUACACUAAAACUAUGAUUAGAGUUUAUGUUUUUUUUUUUUUUUUUCUUUCAAAGAAUAUAUGAUUCGAACCAAAUUCAUUUGGGACGAAGAAAAUAGUAAUGUUAAUAUAAUUACAAUGAAUUAUUAACCAUCCAUGCAUUUUAAAUUAUAAUAAAAAAGUUUUAAUAGUUUCUUAAGAGUUAUUUAGAAGUGGUAAUUAUUUUUUAAAAUAAUUUUAAAAAAUAUAUAUAUUAAAAGAUAUAUUUUUUAUUUUUUAAAAUAUUUUUGAAAUUGACAUAUUAAAAUACUUUAAAAUAAUAAUAAAUAUAUAUAUAUAUAUAUAUAUAUAUUUUUUUUUUAAAAAAAAAAAUACCAUUUGGCAGCCCUUAAUUGGAGAGGGUCCAUUGACUGUUAUCGGUAGAAAACUGGUUAAGGUCUAUCACUACUUCUGGUGGACCAGAAACCUACCUGAUAACCUACCUUUUGAAAUGUUUGCGCGCCAAUGGCUAAUAUCCCUAGCUGUCACAAUCGUCAGCCACAAUUAUCCUUUUAAUUUAACGGUGUUUAUUGACCAGUAAGGCUACACCUUACAAGCAUCUGGAUUGAUCUUCCUUAUCUAAAAAUAUAGUACUGUCUGUAAUUUAAUUUUCACACGAACGACCUGAUUAAAUUUUAAAUUUAUAUUUUAAAAUUUUAAAAAUAUUAAAAAUUAUAUAAUUAUUAAUUUUAGAAUUUAAAAUUAGUUAACAUAUACACAAACUAAUUCAGACAUUUACAUUAAUAAUAAUAAUAAUAAAAAAAAAACAGUAACACUAGUAGAUAUUUUGGAUUUGCAACAUUGAAGUAAAAAUCUAAUGGUCACGGGAAGGAUAUGCUCACCCAGUUGACAUUCAAUGCCACCCAUUUUUUCCCAGAUCAAUACGGCAUCGUGACACUUUCAUAUAAUACUUAGAACUACAUACAUUACCAGAUUAUGGCACAUUGCUGGUAGCACCAGCAUCAGGAGUAUCACGAGCAACAUGUUGACCCUGUAAAUGAUGAGCCAAUGUGGCUUUGGUUCUGUAAUAAAAAAAAAAUUAAAGUUGAAGUGAGCACAAAUUAAUCUAGAGACCUCCCAUUUGUAUGUAUUUUACUAUAAAUCAUUAUAAAUCCUAACCGGUAUUAAUUAGUAUUGUAAACACGUCAAUGUAGGAUUGCAUUCAUAAAUAUUUUUAUUUAAAUAUGAACAAAUUCUAAAAACUAACUUUUUUUUUAUUUGUGUCUCAAAUAAUUAAGAUGAUUUAAUUAAGAAAUUACGGGCUAAUUUAAUAUAAACUUUCAUUAAGAAAAACACAUGGAUAAAUUUUUGAGGGAAUUAGAAUUUCAGAGGGCGGUUGGUUUUUUUAAUGAAAAUCGGUGUAGAAUCAAAUGAAUGUACUUGAGAAAUCAAAGCACGAGAGGGUUACUAUAUCUACUACAAUUCAUGGCAAUAUAUAGUCUUGGUGCCCCACUAAUCAACCCUCCUCCUGAAUCUUUAAACAUUUUGUGCUCGAUCAAUCUCUUCAUCGUCACUAUUAACAUGGGGUUAUGAUGUUUGUACGAAAUGUUUACACGAAAUCAUUGACAAUAUCAUCUUGUCUUGUCAAAGAAACAUAUCAAUUUAAUAAUAAAUUAAACUAUUGUUUCGACUGAAAACAACCUCCACCCAGCUCAUCCUAGUCGCGAUCCUCUCUCCAGCUCAAGAGUUUUCCUUUUUCGCACACUAUAUACUACGCGAUAGAAGUAGUGGAAUCUAGGUUUUACAAAUCAUAUGUUAAUACUUACAAAGCUUGCAACUAAUAUAUAUAUAUAUAUAACUGCAACUGCAACCCGGAAUAUUUAAAAGUGUAAUAAUAAUUGUUUUUUUAAAUAUUUUUUAUUUAAAAAUAUAUUAAAAAAAUAAUAUUUUUCACAUUAAUGUAUUAAAAUAAAAAUUUAACAAUCAAUCCAACAAUAUUUUAUAUUAUUGAAAUAAUUAAAUUAUAAAAAACAGAAAAUAAAACUAUUUUAAACACAUCUCCGAAUAACAAUCUUCAAAAAAUGAGAAUUUCAAUUUCGAAUUAUAGAUUAAAAAACACAACAAUUAUUUGAUUUUAUUAUUUCGAUAAUUAAAAAAUAGCCAUGGAAACUCCAAUAUCAGUACCAUCACAGACAUAAAUGUCACGAUCUUUUGUUUCAAACAGCUGUCAUGAAUUUUUAUAAUUUAAUCUCUUUUGCGAUGAUCUUGGGAUAAAGGUUUUUAUGAUCUCAAUUAUUGACGAAUAUCCGACCAAUAAUGGCAUCGUAACGAGGUAAUAAAAAGCUGUAUCUGUAUUCUGUACAUAACUUGCCUGGUUUUAAAUUCAAAUAUCACAUUUUCUUUACGGUUUUUACGGUGACAUAAUUAUUCUCUGAAAAGUUUUUUUAAAAAAAGGACGAUCCAAAGUUAUAUUUGAUUAUAGAGUUUUGCACGUAACUAGAAAAUAGAAAUGGUCGAAGCAUGCAGUCAACUGUGUCGGAAUUAUGCAAGCAUGCACAUAAGAAAAACAUAAUUUAGACAGCUGUUCAUCAUGUAUUUACGAAGCUAGACAUUUGUUCAUAUACAUGUAUAAAUUAAUGCUCUCGAAAAAAUAAAUCACUCUUCGGAAAGGCAAAGGAUUCCUUAGAGCACUCGUCAAUUAAAUUCGGAGGUGUAGGUGUGUAUUGUUUUUAAAAACCGACAGAAACAUCAAGCCCUGAAUGGCAUGACAUUGUCCGAGAGACAGGCUUGCACCUCUUGGCAUUCCGGGGAGCUUCCGUUUGUUGGCAUUCCGGGGCUCUAUACAAGGAUACGAGGGGGUUACUAUCUAUAAUUUGAUGUCUGCCAUUUUUAUUUUAUUUUUUUGGCUUCGAAUAAUUAAAGUCCUGAUAUUGUAGAUUUCUGUACUUGACAAUUUCCUCACCUUCAUCAACACAGAAUUAUGUUUUUUAUUUGGAAUGUUUGCACGGGAUGAUUGGCAUCACUAAUUUAUACGGUAUCUUCAAUAUUUGUUUUUGUUUUAACUAAAACCAAUCUCCUACCACUCUCACCUGUCAAAUACGUUUGUUGUUAUUCGAGUAUGGAAGAAUUUGGCUUUUUUCUCUGCUAGAAUAUAUAUAUAUAUAUAUGUGUGUGCGUGUGUAUAUAUAUAUUAAAAAGUGACGAAUAAAGAUUUAUUAGUUAAUAUUUUUUUUUUUAUAUGUUUUUACUAAUAGAAAAUAUCUUAAGAAUAAAAUGAGUGUAACAAGCAUGCUAAAUUUAAAAUACUUGGAUUUAACACUUAACUAAGUUCAAUAUAAUAUGAGUUUGACAUAUUUGUCAUGCUCAAACACUUGGACUCUAUAAUCAAUCAAGUCCAAGUUAAUAUGAGCUUGAUAUACAUGUUAGUCUAGUUGAUCUUUCAUAUUAGAAUUUAGAGGUAAUGAUUCCUUUAUAUCUAUAGAUGUGAUGAAGAUCUCUUAAGGGAUUUAUCACAUUUAUCAUCUCAUUAAUGAUAUGAAAAGAUAUGUUUGUCUCUUAUUAAUGACAUGUAAGAGAUAUUUGUCUCUCAUUAAAGUCAUGAAUAAAGAAUUUUCUAAUUUUUCUUUUUCAUGAAAACAACAAGGCUUUGGGUGUUAUAAGAAUCACCCGAACCACGUAGAAAAAAUAUUCAUAAUCUUCAUCAUCUAUGAUAUACAUACCUGAGAUUAUAUUUUUCUAUAAUAUUAUUGUAUAUUUUCUCUCUAUAAAAAUACUUACCUGAGCACCUGAGAGUUCCAACACCUACUAAAUAUAAUUUUUUAUAGGUACUAGCUACAAGUCAUCUUGACUUAUCAAAUAUCAAGUACAAAUUAUCAAUUAUUUUGGCUAUAAACAUAAAUAAAAUUGCUAUGAUCAAUUAAUUAAUCUAUUAUUUAAUCCGGGAGCCUUGUUUCUAAAUUAGUUAGAUUUUUUUACCACCAUAAAAAAGAUAAGUUCAUACCAUUAACCUGUAUCAUUAAACAUAAACCAAAUAAAUUGGACAACCCAUUUUUUUUUUCAACAUCAUUUACUAUUGGGUUUUAAAAAAAAUCCAUGAAAUAAUUUAUGUGUUAAUUAUUAUUAAGUUUUAUUCAUGAAAGAUUUGAAAUUUACGUUUUUUUAUGUUGAAUUCAUGUAUUUAAGAAAAUAAACUUUAUUACAUGAUGAAUUAAAGGUUCGAGUUAUGAUUAUUUCCAAAUUCUUAUCUAAAAAAAUUAGACAAGGCAGAUACUCGCAAAUUCCAAAUCUAGGCCACAUAGUAUAUAUAUAUAUGCAACAUCACUUUAUGUUAUUUAAAUAAUCAAGUAAAAAAAUAACAUAAACGAGGCUGUUUUUAAACAGCAAUAUAAAAAAAAGCGAGAAUUCCAAGUUGAAAUGAAUAAAACCAACUAUAUAAAUGUCAAUCGUGCAAUUCGAUAAGGAUAAAGAUGCAAACACCGAUAUCAAUAUUACAAGCAACUUUCUUCUUUUUUCUUAAUUAUAAAAUAACUAUCAUGUAUUAAUUUAUCAUUUAUUCUUUUCUUGGAUGGUAUUGGAAAAAAUGUUUUUACCAUCUCAGUCACCGACGAAUCUGACUAGUAACGGCAUCAUAACGGGGCUAAUAAAAACCUUUAGCUGUACGUAUCUUACCAAUUAUAUAUAUAUAUAUAUAUAUAUAUAUAUAUAUAUAUAUAUAUAUGCAGAUUUCAUGUUUUUUUUUCGUUGUUGCUUAAAAAAUUGACCCAAUGUUGUUGUUAUUAUUAUUAUUAAUAAGAUUAUAUAUUUUAUCUACAUAUCAUUAUAAAAUAGAAAUGGCCUAAGACAAUUAUCCAUGGUCGCGGUUUGAUUUCUUAUCACAUGCAUCUGAUUUUACUGAUAUCAUUACAUUAGUAUGAGAUAAAAAUAUAAAAAAAUUAAUUUUUUUUUAAAUUUAAAUUUUUAAAAAUAUAAUUUAUCUUUUAAAAAUCAUCGAUUUGAGUUUUAUAAACGUCAUGAUUAUUAAAAAAUUAUAUAAUUAUUAAUUUUAAGAUUCAUGAAAUUAAUUGAUAAAUUGAGAAAUACUGAUGAAAUUAAUUCAAACACUUGUGUUAAUAAAAAAAAAAGAAAAGAAAAAAAGCCAAAUGUAAAUUAAAGAAUGCGUAAUCAAUUUCAUUAUACUUGAAAAAGAAUUACUCCGCAAAAACAGUAUUAGUCAAUAGCAGUAGACCCCAAGUAAAAACAACUUUAAUAAUUUUCAAUAGAAAAACGGAAAAAGAGAAAUCUCUUACAACAGUAAAGAGAGAGGAUACGUUACUUUUUUAAAAGUAAAAGGUAAAUCACUCCUCCGUCAGAUUCUAGAGGGAUUUAUUUAUUUAUUUAUUUAUUAAAAACAGAGACAGAGACAGUGACACACAGCCAAGUACCUGAAAUAGGAUAGGAAGACAGUUGUUGGCACUGUGGGGCUGGCUAUUAUCUAUGGUGGUGGGUUGUGAGAGUUGAGAGAGUGUGCUGGGUAGAGCCUAGAGGUGAGGUGAAGUGGGUCAAUAAAAAGUUAUCUCUACGAGAAAAAUCCACUCUCUCCCACUUUCCCGCUCCUUCUCUUGAAUCUUUUUCUUUCUUUAUCCCCUUCUUUCUAGACAAAAACAAGAGAAGAAAAGAAAACAAACGAAGUGAUGGAGAGCCAAUGGAGAGAACCGAAACCAAAACAAAACGGUAGUUGUUGCCUGUCGGUGUAAAUUCUUCUCUUCUCUUCUCUCCUUAGCUAUGCGGAGCAGCUUCUUCUCUGGCAAUGGAUACCCCAGAGAAGACCCAGAUCACCUCUCCUCUUUCUAAGUUCGAGGUAAUUCCUUGCCUCUCUUAUUCUGAUCUCUCUGACCCUUUUGCAUUCGUGAAUCGUGUUUUUGGUCGUUUUGAUUCAAUGCAUGUGCUUGGGUUUGGUGUCUUAGUUGGUUGACUUGCCUGUGUUUUAUCAGAAAAGACUCACCUGGGUUUUUCUGGGACCAGAGUCCUGUCUUGUUAGUUUUCUCUGUCUGGAUUUUGAGUUUCAUGUGGUUUACAUCUCUAAUUUAGGUUCAAUCUUUACAAUUUGGUUCUUCCUCGUGUUACCUUCAUGUCGCUUGAAAUGCUAUGAACUGCGAAGUAGCAUUUCAAUCUUGAGAUCUUAAUUUACUGUCAUUUUCGUAAAAGAAAUAAAAAAUUUCUCCUGAUUUAUUGGGAUCUAUUUGGUGUUUAUAACGACUUUUGAAAAAUUCUCUCAUUUUAUUUUUUAUUUUUAUGGUCAGUCUAAGAAGGAUACUGUAUUUUUUUUUUUAUCUAUCAGUAAUAGUAACCCUUCUGUCUGAACGAAUUUACUUAUUUGAUUCUAGAUCAGUAAUUUGGGAUCUUGUAUUCGUUCCAUCUGGUUGCUUCUUUGUUCAAUGAUUGACAUGUAUUUUUGCUUCUGGGUGCAGGAUUCACCUGUUUUUAGCUAUAUCAAUAGCCUUUCUCCUAUCAAGCCAGUGAAGUCCAUAAACAUCGCCCAUACAUUCCACUCGCUUAGUUUUGCAUCCCUUCCGUCCGUCUUUACUUCGCCCCAUGUGAACUCUCACAAGGAAACUAGGUUCCUUAAGAGGUAAAUGACUUGCUUUCUUGACCAUCCUCCGGUCUGGACUACAAUAAAAGCAUAUAUACUUUUGUUCAACUUCACUCUUCUGUUUUCAGGCAUAACUACGCUGAUCUCUCAAAACCAGAGUUUUCUUCUGAAAAUGGGAAUGAGGCUUGUAAUGAUGAAAGGGUAGCUGUGGAUGCGGCUCAGCUUUAUGAUAAUUCGUCUGAGCUACAGGAGAGUUUUGAUCCUGGGGUGUCCAUUAGAGAGGCCUCAGUUGAACCUCCUAGUGAACAUUUGAAGCUCGCAAUUGAACUGCCACGGACGUUAAACUAUGAUUGUGGUACCCCUGAUAGUGACCAAACACCUCGUUGUGGUACUCAGACAGGUACUGUGUCCAAAUCUGAUGGCACAAUAGCGUCACUUGUUCCAUUUACUGAUGUGGCUUCUCAUAAAGAUUCCUCUGAAGGUCAAGUGCAUUUAGCAGGGUUAUACAAGAUUGAGAGUAAAAAAGAGGCUACAGAAUGUGACUGGGAGAAUUUUAUAUCAGAUUCUGCUGAUCUGUUAAUUUUCAAUUCUCCCAUUGAUGCAGAGGGUUUUAAGGAGCUUUUUCAGAAGUCACCGAACCCUGUUGUUGGAUUUUGCACCUCUUUUAGUGAGGUGCAAAAAAUGCAAACAGUCAAUCCUAUUGGUCCUGGUGAACAAAAUGAGAAGGAAGACCCCUUCACUCAACCUGGGGAAACCAUUGAGCUGACGCAAAUGGACCCAACACAGGACAAUCUUGCUGCUAAUAAGGAUCCAAAUAAAUACAUAAUCAGCAAUCCUUCUAAGGUAAAAAGAUGCAGCUCAUAUCUGUUGCCGAUAUCUGCUGCAUAAUUUGCAUCUUUCUAGUUGAUGAAAUAGUUUUGAUUUAUUUGUUUUACACUUAAUUGUUAGUUGUGUCAUGCGAGCAUGAACUCCCUUCUACUUACUAGUAAUUGUUCGUGUUGAUAUACCCAGCAGGAAAAGAAUCAAACUCUUAUAAACAUCUUGAAAGUGAGCACAGCAACCUUUUGUGCUUGCAACUCCCAGGGAAGCUAGGCAGGUGUAAAACAAAUGGGUCAUGCUGCACCAAGCACGGGCAGCCUGUCAGCUACUAUUCCAACCACAACACUACUGUGGAACCUAAAAAGCAUCUCCUGUUUUCUACCUUUAAACUUGUACUUAAAAACGCCUUCCCAACCCACAUUCAAUUUUAUGUUUACAUGUUCCACUAAUCAAAAUUUUGUGGAACAUAAAAUAUAACCAUGCAGAUAUAGAAUUGGCAAACCAAAAUUUUGUGCCAUUAAUCAAUCUGCAAUGGAUAAACUUGUACCAAGAUUUGAUUUGUAUUUCUUAUGGUGGCAUGAUUUCCUUAAUAUGCAGCAUCAAUUCCGUUGCAUUUCAAUUCCUAUUAAGAUUGACCCCCUUGUAAUUUUGAAGAUUUGUAUUUUACUUGACCAAAAUUGUUUUCUUCUUGUUCUCCAAUUCAUAACUUUUGAGGAACUCAAUGACUUUUCUGACAACAGUCCAAUUAUUUUAUGAUCCUGUAGGCUGUUUCUAAUUUGCAUCGUGGCAUGCGAAGGCGCUGUCUUGACUUUGAAAUGGUAGGAGCCCGUAGGAAGAACAUAGAAGAUGGUUCAAGCUCUAGUUCAGUGGGGGUGCAGUCAGAUGAGAAAAUUACUUACAAAAAUACACAAUUGGUGCCUUUUAAGCCCAGCAGUGAUUCUUCAAGAUGCAUUUUACCUGGAAUUGGUCUGCACCUAAAUGCUUUGGCAAUAAAUUCCAGGGAUAGUAAAAAAAUCAAGCAUGAAACUUUCUCUUCCUCCAUUACUUUGCCUGGUUCUGCUGCCUCCUUUCACUCCCCAACAAGUGGUCAAGAGCUUGAUGAAUCAUUGGCCUUAGCGUCUAUGGAAAGAGACAUGGAUCCCAGUGACAAUGUUGUUCCAUUUGUGGAAGAUUUCAGCCAGACUAGCCCAAAAAAGAAGAGGCAUGUUAUUUGACAAUGUGUUUCCUGUACAGUUAUUACCUAAUAACUCUUACACUUAUUAGCAUGUUUAUGCAUCUCUCACGUUUGAAUGUCAUGGAUAUUAAAUUUUAUUUCCAGGCGUAGGUUGGAAGGAGAAGCCGAGGCCUGCAAGCGUUGCAACUGUAAGAAAUCAAAGUGUUUGAAACUGUAAGUAGUUAUCUUCUGAAAUUUAAUUCAAUCAGGGAUGUUGUUUCCAGCUAGUGACCCAAAUAAAUAUAAUCGGAUGUGCUAUUCAAAAAUAGAUCUCUGUGCUUUGGUGUCAUCACAAGCUAUUUUUUAUCCCGUGUUGGGCAAGAUUUAACAGUUAGACUGCUGUUAUAUCUCAUAUGACUUCUCUAAUCUAUGGAAGUAUAUGCAGAAUUAUUUAGGGAAAACGAUCUUUAUCAAUGAAGAUCCCUGUCCUCAAGGGCCCUUACCAUGAACAGGGUCCUUACAUGAACCAGGCUUCAAACUUGGAUCUAAUAGAUCAUCUUAGUUUUCAAUUUGAUUAUAUUCUCCUCUUGUUUAGUAUGCUGGAGGUGAAUGCUUAAGUUUUUUCUUCCCUUCCCUUUCCUCCCUCAUUUAUUUGACUCUUGGCAUGUCUAUACACAUCCUUUAUCUGGUAUCAUAAUGAUCAUAUAUCAAUAUGCACACCAUGCAGGUACUGUGAAUGUUUUGCUGCUGGUGUCUACUGCAUAGAGCCAUGUGCAUGUCAAGAUUGCUUCAACAAGCCUAUUCAUGAAGAUACUGUUCUUGCAACUCGCAAACAGAUAGAGUCUCGCAACCCACUUGCAUUCGCUCCCAAAGUGAUUAGGACAUCUGAACCUGCACCUGAAAUUGGGGUUAGCUCAAAUCUGAUCUUACCUUUUGCUUAGGCAAAAUAGUCAAACUUUUAUUUUAACUUGAAUGCUUCUUCGAUCUAGGAUGAGUCCAGCAAAACACCUGCUUCAGCUCGGCAUAAAAGGGGAUGCAACUGCAAGAAAUCAAGUUGCCUAAAGAAAUACUGUGAAUGCUAUCAGGUAGUUUCCUUGGCAUAUUCUGUGUGCUUUUAAUGUUUAAUAUAAACUGAUUCAUCAAAUCAUGGUUCUUUUGUGAAGGGUGGUGUUGGAUGCUCCCUUAACUGCAGAUGUGAAGGAUGCAAGAAUGCAUUUGGAAGAAAGGAUGGUAAGUUUUACCCAAAAGUUUGCUUUCAUACAGUUUAGCUACUUAGUACACAGGCAACCUUCCUCUAAUCAUGUAGUGGCUUUAAAUGAUCCAAGAAAUAAAUAAACUAACUUCUUAUUUUGGUCUUAUUAAUUCUAAAUAGUUUUGUGCCUUCAAUGACUUUCCAAAUCUAGGAUCUGCUUCAAUGGAAAUGGAAGACGAACAAGAAGAUGAAACAGAGGCAAGUGAAAGAAUGGGGUUGAUAAAACAUUGCAGAAAGCUGAAAUCCAGAAUAAUGAUGAGCAGCAUCCAAAUUCUGCUCUUCCCACAACACCAUUACGGUUUUCCAGGUUUACUUUCUGAACUAUUUACUGCCUUAAAGGUUGAGUGUUUUUAUUAGAUCUUUAGUGAUGUUUUUGAAAUUUGAUGCCAGACCACUGGUUCAGCUGCCAUAUUCAUCGAAGGGCAAACCGCCAAGAUGUUUUCUUGGCGUUGGAUCAUCUUCUGGAUUGUAUACUGGCCAAAGAUAUGGAAAACCAAAUAUUCUUCGACCUCAAUGGAAGUUUGAGAAGCAAUUCCAAAAUGUUCCAGAAGAUGAAAUUCCUGAGAUCCUUCGAGAAAACCACUCUCCAAGCUCUGGCAUCAAGACUUCUCCCAACAGCAAGAGGGUCUCUCCUCCACAAAGUAACUUAGGAUCAUCCCCUGGUCGGAGGAGUGGUCGGAAGUUGAUACUACAAUCCAUACCCUCAUUCCCUUCUCUCACUCCCCAGCAUUGAAAGGAAAUGUUUCCCAUAAAAGCUCGGAUGAAAUUCUUUUAAACCUUUGUAGCGUUGAGAGGCAUGUUAGUUUAGUUGUAUGUAAUUCGAGUUUUUUCCGCUCUGCUUGUAUAAUAAGAUGCAAUCUAGUAGUCAUAAAAUCCAACUACUCUUGUAUAAUAUUGUACUUCUACCUUUUCUUUUGUUCAUCUUCCUCCAACAAGGUUGAUUUUUAACACUUCAUUAAGCUAUCAAACACCACGAGUAAUAUAGAUGCCAUGCCAGUUAGAUGUUGUUGGCUUGUGACAUGCUUAUAGUGUUAUGAGUUUAUGAAAAAAAAAAAAAAUUAUAUGAAAGAAAAACUAUUAUAAUCCAAGAAAUGUUUUUUAAAAAUUAUAACAAAAAAAUAAAAAGAAAAAAAACUAUAUAGAAAAAUACUGUACCAAUUUAUAGUUUCAUGAAAAAAAUAUAGUUGUAAUUUUCAAUCAGUUCAAUAUUUAAAAUAAUAAAAUCAAUAAAGAUAAUUUUAAAAAAAAUCAUAACAAAACAAAAUCAUGUGGGGAACACUGUAGCAAUUCAUGAUGUUUUUUUUAAAAAAAACUACGAAGUUAAAUUCUCAACCAGCUCAAUAUGAAAAAAAUAAAAUCGACAAAGAUAAUUUUGGAAAAAAAUCAUAAAAAAAAAGGGAAAAAACCAUGUGGGAAAAACACUAUAGUAAUCUAAAGUAUUUUAAAGAAAAAAAACUACAAAGCUAAAUUCUCAACCAGUUCUAUAUUAAAAAAAUAAAAUUAACAAAAACAAUUCUAAAAUAAAAAAAAUGAAAAAAAAAGAGAAUUUAAAAAAAAAAGAAGUGAAAAAAAAAAUGGAAAAAGAAAUAUGCAGGAAAAGUUAAAGCUAAAUUCUCAACCAACUUUAUAUAAAAAAAAAAUUCAACAAAGAUAAUUUUGAAAAAAAAACAUGUGGAGAAAUACUAGUAAAACAAAAAUCAUGUAGAGAAAUAUUGUAACAAUUCAUAGUGUUUAAAAAAAAAAUUACAAAGUAAAAUUCUCAACUAGCUCAACAUGAAAAAAAUAAAACCGACAAAGAUCAUUUUGAAAAAAAAAAUUCAUAAAAAAAAAACCAUAUAGGAAAAUAUUAUAGUAAUUCAUAAUAUUUUAAAGAAAAAAACUACAGAACUAAAUUUUCAACCAAUUUAAUAUUAAAAAAAAUCAAAAAGAUAAUUUAAAAAAUAUAUAUAAAAACAAAAAAAAAGGACAAUCUUGAAAAAAAACAUGUAAAACGUCAAAAAAAAAAUUGUGGGAAAAAAUAUAUAUAUAGAAAAAGCUACAAUACUUAGCCUCACGUUUUAGGAUAUUACAGGAUAUUAGUUAAUAAAGACUGCAAUCUUCCAAGGAGAUUAUUCCCAAGCCUUGACGCGUCAGGGAAUCAAAAUUCAUAACUUCUGCAGCAUUAGCCAUUUAAGCCUGGUGGUUCUGCUCCUCAAAUUUCUUUUGGGCUGGAAUCACCUAGUCUUGCUGGUUGAUCCAGUCAGGUCAGGUUGACGGGUUUCAAAGGACCAUUCCAUGUGUAUAGACAGGAGAGAUGAACAUAUGCACACGGAGUUGGUCAUUUUCAUUUUCGAAUAAGACCAUUUCUAGUGUUUUACCAAGGCUAGAAGUUGAGCAUUUCUUCUAUCCUUUAAUGAAUCAAAUAUUGCACCCCCUGUUUUAUCUUCGAGGGUUUUUUUUUUUUUUUUUUUUUUGGGAGGUGGGGGGAGGCUCCAAGACCUGGAAAGCUCAGCGAAGAAAACAGGAAGCAAGUAAACGAGGGCACGAAGCACAGUUACAAAAUGUAAAAAAGAGGUCCAAUACAGGAAGCACAUGACAAACCGGUCAGUGCAUAGGAGGUUUUGAAGCCUUUGAUAAUUUUUCUCACCUUAUAGUUGGGUUACACAACGGAAGUCGUAAUGCUCUCCUUUGUUUAUCUUUGCGUGGGCAGCAUUGAGUCAAGGCCAAAUGACUCGUCAACUAACCUAGCUGGUAAGUUGAAGAUAGCAAGGAUACCAUUAAACAAAGACCGUGCAGAUGAAAUGAAGACUCGGAACAUGUUGGUGCAGUAUUAAAUUCAGUACUGAAUUUGUAAGCAAUGUGGCGAUGCCUAUCUUGUAAACAAGGCAAGACCACGGUUAGACAUUAACAUCAUGCUCUUGUCAAGUUUGAACUCUUUUACGAUCAAAAAGCAGAGUAAUUCAUCAAGCUAUGGAAGAAUUAGUACAUCCUUCCUAUAGUUAGAGUUCUUGCGAUCUCCUUUAUUGAAAAUUAAGUUGCAGGAAAAAAAAUCUGCUACCUUAACCGCUAACCCGCUUGGGAUGGCUAAGGGGUACAAGGGUUGGAUAAGAAUCUACCAACUUCUACACCUAAUAAACAAUUCCCUUCUCCCCUGUUUAUGGGUCACCAUCGGAGCUCUCGAGUUCACAACUGCACCAAGCUGGUUAUACUCCCAAUUGGGGUAUAUCUGAUUUUCA
This 50600-nucleotide long non-coding RNA is filed under the name Populus tremula. RNAcentral's name for it is "long non-coding RNA (PTRE_LNC002803)". The record is from RNAcentral. Lineage: Eukaryota; Viridiplantae; Streptophyta; Magnoliopsida; Malpighiales; Salicaceae.